CCAAGAUUACUCAUGCAAUUAGCUGGACACAUCUGAGGUUUUACACACUAGCAAACAAAGAGCACACAUGGAAUUUUAUGCCAUGAAAACUUGCUACAUCUUUUUUAUUUGGAAUACAGAGAGAAAGAAGGGUCGUUGCGCGACCGAACUAAACACACACCACGUUCUUAAUGACUCGUGCCACCCCAUGAAUCAGAUCGUGCGUGCAUGAUCUACAGCUCCACUAUUUAACGCGUGUGAUCCGAUGGGCCAUGCCAUCCCAUGACUCGGUUCACGGCACGGCAGAAACUGGAGCGACCCCAACCUGAUGCAUCGACUCGACGCAAGCAUGCUUGCCGUCAAGACCGACUCUCAGUGCAUACCGCGUGCUAGCAGGCACUUCUGUGGCGCGUUAUUUGGAACAAACAAAUUGAAAGGGAAAAAAGGCAUGCACUAAGUUUACUUCAAUGGAUGAGCCCUCGAUCCACAAACCCACAUCGUGAAGUGGUCUUAGUGGAUCUCGUCACUCUUCAAGUCGAUCUCGUCGUUCUCCGAGCCGGAUAAGUGGUUGUCCACCUGCUCGUGCCUAGCCUGCAAUGCCGUCAACCACAAACACCACAUCCAGAUUCCGUUACAUUCCCUCAUCACCCAGGCAGAAAAAACUGAAAAUCUUGGAAAAAAGAAUGGAGAUUGAGUUCAUACCCUCCUCAUCUGGGCACGACGGUUCUUGAACCAGAUUUUGAUAUGCUGGGGCUCCACGCGAAGCUCGCGACUGUGAUGAGCGCGCUGGGCCUCAUCGGGGUUGGGGCACUCAAUGAAAACACUGCAGUUUUCAAAAAAAUAGAAGUAAAAGAAAACCAUGAAUACCCUGCACAUGAAGCACCAUGCAAAUAUGACACGAGAAAUAAGUUGUAGGAAAUGGUGCUUGAUCAACCUCUCGAGGAUCUGAAUCUGGUUGUCACUUAGAUCCAUUGUUACCAAUUUCUUGCUUGCUCGCUCACUCUCCCAGGCUGCCUAGAGGAAGAGAAAGUGGAGGCAGGAAGAUAUCUUCGUACUGGAUGCUGCGUGACCUCUCGUUUGCUCCUAUUUAUACAUGAGAGAGUGGUGUUUCUACUCUGUCACAGUGCUGGCGCAAACAAGCGCCCGUCUGUGUGACCUCUGGCUUGCUUCUGGCAGUCUCCUGGCCCGUCUCUCUUAAUGCCUCCUCCUAUUUGGCUUCUUCCACCAUAAAUUGCUGACCGUCCAUCCCUGUAUUGCAGAAACGUUCGCUUUGACUUUUGACCAACUCGGCUGUCUUGAAGGUUUCUCUUUCCAACGCUGGUGCACAGCCGACACAUUGUGGACGAUUUUGAGACGAUGCAGCGCAUCAAGCCAUCCAUGCAAUUAGCAAAACUGAGCAUCACCGUCCACUCCUCCCGUCGUCCAAUGUUCGGCUGGCGACUGUCGUCCCUACAGCAAUUUCAUUCUCUUUAUGCCUCCUCUCUCUCGGCUUCGUCCCUCUCUUGCUCGGGAGCGCCAGCUGUAGCGUGGUAGUACUAGUAACUGAUGCGAUGUAAGAAUCUGCAAAGCACUUCAAAUCACCCACGAUAAAUAAACUUAGCAAAACAUUUCAAAAAAUUCUGCAUUUUUUGGAUGUGAUUAUGACCAAAUAAUUUUGGUGCUUGCAAAAUUUGGUGGUGAAAUGACAUCCGAGGAACUUUGUAAAAACAACCAAGUUUGUGCUGAAAACAUGUGAAUAGUAACAUGGUGCAGAGCAUCAUUUGUAUUUCGUUUUGUAUGAAGAUCAUUUGAUGUUCUUUGGUGAUCAAACUUUGCAAGCUCCUAAAACAUUUGCUCAUAAUCAUGUCGACGAAAUUUCAGAAUUUUUUGAUUUUUUUUUAAUUUCCCGGUUUACUCCAUGGGUGCACCAAAGUGGGUGGAGCCACUACUUUCCCAAGAGUUUAUGGACCUGCUUCUGUACGUGUCCUACUGGGUUUGGAUUCAACAAACAAAUGUAGCUACACAAAUGUAUGGCUUGUUAACCAUUAUAAUCAAUUCUACAAUAUUUUAGAAUGCAAUUAGUAGGCAUUAAUUUUCAGCUUCUCACUUAUGUAUGGACAUCAAAUUAAUCAAGUCAUAGUACAGGUGGGUCGUUAUCCUCUAAAUCAUAAUAUUCAUAUUCUAAGUAAGAAAGGUAGCACUAACAAUAUACCGACCUAUUAUUGCAAGCACUAUCAUGUAUCACUAGAUUGCCAAUAUGUUUGCUUAACUGUACCAUUGCCCUCCUUUUACAAUGGACAUUUUGUUACAAAAUUUGUUCCUCUACCUGGGAGAUUUUAUUUAGUCCUGGUUUUUUUAUUAGCUUGGCACAAACAUGAAACUACACAACGCCAAGACAUUGACCCUCCAUUUCUAUUGCAUAUAUACUUCAUUUGAGUUAAACUUCUCAAGUAACAUGCCUUUUUUCUUCAAGAUUAUUUCCAGACAUUUGUUCCAAAAAUAUGAUACAUGCUUCGGACAUAGAACUACAACAACUCAUAAGAACUACAAUCAUUUCCUCUUGCAAAUUUUUUUAUUACUUCCUCCACAACCAUUGUACCUACCAUGCAUAUAUAUGUAAACUGCGAUUGUCAAGAUUCGUGUACUAAAUGGAAAAGUGGGAUUGUAAAAAAUAUGCAAUACUAAGAAAUAUAUAAAUAUACUAAGUGUAUUCUUAUAAUUUUCUGUUGAUGUAAUUCAUAGUUGCUAUUUCAUUUAUUGGAUAUCAUAAUUCAUCAUCGACUAACAAUAUUGUCAUGAUUAAUAAAGUAAUGACAUCUUACAUAUGCAUAGCGAUACUUUUCAUUUAAUGUAAACCCUUAUAACUAUAAGGUUUUCUGUCAAUGUGACUGUAGAUUAAACCAUGAUUGAUAUCCAUACUUAAAAGGCUUUAUUGACACAGAAACAAAUUUCUUGUAGCUUUGUUGUUACCCCUUCUCACAAUAGGGGUAAGUAGCGUAACUUUAUCAUAUGUGCUUUUUACUACUAGGGAAACACUAGUUCCUAAUCUGAGCUCAUAGAUUAGACAAAAUUGUUUAUGUCAUUGUUAUGCUAAUACAAUAAUUUAAAUGACACACUAAACAAUACUCACAUUGAUAUUAGUUUAAACUUUACAUAAAAACUAAUGUCCUAUUUCCAUGUGAUAAAUAGAUGCUACUAGAAAUGCACCGUGAGAUUGUGGGCCGUUGGUUUUCUUUACAAGGACAAAGAUGAUUUGCAUCAAUCAUAUGGAUUUGGCAAUCACAAAUAUUAGUAUGAUGCAGGCUCAAUUAUAAUAAAAAUACGCAUUAUGAACAACGAAGCAAACCAAGAACAUAAUAUACAAAACAUAUGAUAAUGAAAUGUGCAUAAGGGUUGGAUAACAACUCACUCUUAUGAGACAUUACGUCUCGAGAUCAAUCAUACACUACACCAACAUAAAUGCAUGUUUUAGUGCUUGUUUAAUGCGCACUAAAGUUAGAAAUUAAGUUUGUCGAACUAUACAUAAGCUAUGCAUCCAUGUAUACUACUGCCCGACACGACAGAGUCAUGCAUUUUCAUUUAUAUUAUUUAGUGACACCUACACGACAAUAAUUGUCCACGUGAAAACCGCAAGGCCGUACAGUGCAUCCUUGGUGGACUAUGAUAGUAACGGUUAACUAAUACUACAAUUAUUGCGAAUGUUUUGUAUAUUCUGUAAAGGAAGAUUCAUUUGGGAUAAAUUAAUGGCUUGAGUGUACCAAGUGUUAUGUUCAUAGAUGCAACAAUGCACAAAAAUAUAUCUAGAUGGUGCUUAAUACUAGGUUUUUUGAGUUGGUGUUAACAUGAGCUUGUAGAGCAAAAUCAAAGUCAAUUAUUUACAUAUUGCAAUAGCUCUCUCUCUCUCACUUACAUAUUACAUAGUGUGUGUGUGUGUGUCUGUGUGUGACUUUGUGUGUGUGUGUGUGUGUGCGUGCGCGCGCGUGCGUGUGUGUGUGUCAUUGUACUCAUUAUACAAUGGAUUUUCUAUUACAAAAUGUGUUCAUCUCAAGGGAAGAGGAUAUGGAUCCUUCCCGGCUUUCCAUGUAGCAAGACAGUGGAGUGAAAGCGGAUUGUGCUUGGGCAACCAUCCCUGGGGAGUCAAGCCCUCUAGGUGCUCCGAGGUGAUGAUGGAGGGAUUCCAAUCACCAGGCAUGGUGGGCAAAUUUGCCACCUCGACCGAAUAGGGCGACGACAGGGACAAGUUUUGAUCCAGGACGCGUCCAUGUCUUGCGGCCGCGCCAACCUUGCGCGGCUCGGGCUUCAAGGUGUGUUCUUCUCCUGUGACGAUGACUGCUAAAAUCUCAGAGGAAUUGGGAAGGGGAAGUUGCGUGGUUGAUACCAACCCUUUCCCGAUUAAUAAGGAAUAAAAGGGAUCUGAAGCGGCAGUGUUCUUCUCCUGCGAUGGUGUUUGCUAAAAUAUGAGAGGAAUUGAGGAGGGAACGAUGUGUAGUUAAUACUAGCCCUCUCCUGAUUAAUAAAGAAGAAAAGGGAUUUGAAGUGGCAACAUGGCUCCCAAGAAUUGCAUCGAAGCCCGCGGUGACACCUGGAAGGUUCGCACUGGCGAUGGGUGGCGACGAUCGCCAUUGGGCCGCAAUGCCUUUUCUCUCUGGCCCAAGUAACACCCCCUUCCCCCGGGCAUUGCCCUGACCUCGGAGCCCACAGACGCCGGGAGGCCCCGGGUCCAAGAGCCCUAUUUUUGUGGAGCCUGCACCAUGAAAAAACCACAAGCCAGGGGCAGGAGAGCCCUAGGGGACAAAAAGGUCUCCAGAAUGAAGCAUCCAAGUCAGGUAGGCCUCCUAUGGCUAACCAAGAUGGGGCCCUCUGUCAACUAUCAACAAAACCAGGAGCUCGCCUGAGUUCUCGAAGACUGACGGAACUCGAAAUCUAGAUAGGCUCGGACGCUACUGAUGGUUUCAUGCACCGGGGUGGCUUCUAUCAAAGGAGCCAGCUAGAAGGCCGGCUAGGGACCCAAGAUGCAUGCCAAGUAAUUGGCAUAGGAGGGAGCUCCGAACAAUAGACUUACAUUCAUGAUAUCAUCUUGACCCCCAAGUCAUCCUAGUGGCGGGCUAAGAUUGGAUCUAUCUAUUUGUAAAACCUUAGCCCUCAUCAUGUAUAUAAGGUGAGGGCUAUGGGCUCCCAAGAGAUCGACUAUAGUAGAAUAGACUCUUGGUAGCAUCUUCAUACUCCCCAUUGGAGUCCCUUGCAUGAGGUAUACCCACCAUGAAUGAAGACAGCGCGCAUGGCAUAGAGUAUUACUCCUCGCCGGAGGCCCUAUCCUGGGAAAAUAGUGUGUGUGGCUCCGUUCUGGUACUUCCGACCACGUUUGCCACCCUAUCGAGGGUACUAACUAUUUUUCGCUCCGUAAAGCAAGACAUUUCAAAAUACCUUCUUUAGUGCAUUUCCACGGGAAAUGGGCUCAGACCUAGAAGAAAAUCAUCAUAUAGAAGGUCACACCAAGUGUUGAAAUAAAGGAAAAGCAAAUGGAGUCGCCAAGAGGGAAACAGAGGAAAAGGCGGCGCAUGGUACAAAUACAUGCGCUGGUACAUGUGCUCGUACCACUUGUCGUCGACGGCGUGAUGUCCAACCAAGCACAAUUUAUAAAAGAGGCCAAGUCUCAUUGGCAAUAGAGAGUCGCCCGUCGAGAUGAAACAAAGAACCAGGAGCCAUAUCGGCAACCACCUACUAGGAUGUUUUUUGCUAUUGAUGUUGGCAUCAUUGUGCCAACUUGGUUAGGCAGUUCAUGCUUGGUUGGGGGGCCAACCUGGGUGCAGAGCUUAGAGCUCCUAAGGGAGCCCCAUUCAACCAGAUUCAAGAGUUGAUUGUGAUUGUAGAUUCCCUGGUCUCUCGGAUGAUGAGUGGCUCUAGCGCUAUGCCCUUGAGGCCUCCCUUAUGAAAAUCUGCAAGGGUGAGGAGUUUUAUAGAAGCGUCGAGGGGGCCAAAAUUGGCUCUUGAAGGGGGCCCCAACACCACCUAUUUUCACACCAUUGUGAAUGGGCAACGUCCAAAGUGAUCAGUCCUUGUCUGUGGGAUGGGGAUGCCCUCCUUGAGCAGGCUGGGGAGAUCGUAUCGCAUAUUUACUCCUUCUAUAAGGAACUCUUGACGGUGAACCCCGCUAUGGGGUUUCUCUGGCAAAGGACUCGCAAUCAGCGGCCAAUGUGUUAGUCAUUGAGAAUGUGCAGCUAACUUUUCCAUUCUUGAUAGAACAGGUAGGCCGGGUGAUUGAUGUUAUGAAUGCUAGCUAGGCACCUGGCCCCAAUAGCCCACCAAUGGUCUUCUUCCAGAAAUUAUGGCCAGGGCUCCAGCAGGUGAUCAUGUUGAUGUUCCAUAUGUUUGAAAACUAGACAAAUGCUCACUUCAACCAACUUAACAAGAAAAUACAGAUAAACAAAGGGGUACAUUGAAAGUGCAACUAAUCCCCGGGUGGUUUUAGUAAUUCAUAACAACAUAUAUCUCAUUGAACUAAUAUUCUUUUAAGAUUAAUGUUUUAGAAAGUUCAAUGAUUGGUAUGGCAUGGACUAGAGAUGUGGACCCCUCAAAAUGCUGAGGGCACAUAUUGGCAAAAGCUCAAGAAUCUACAUUUUCAUUUUAGUGAUCCAAGUUCACAUUGAGUCCAUAGGAAAAGCCAACACUAGUAAAAGAGGAUGAGGUGUUGCUUAAUGGCUUGCUUGCUCAAAAUGCUUAGUGAUAUGCUCCAAAAUCCCUCAACCACUUUCUCAUUUCCACAUAUGUCCUAAACCUAAAGUCAAACUCGGCCCCACCGAUUUGAUCUAUCCAGCGCCACCAAGUUCACUUGAUAUAGCCAUAACCAGAAACCCUCAUCAGUUCGGUCUCACCGAUAGGGAUCUCGGUCUCACCGAGAUGGGAUUGCAAACUCUUUGUUCCCCUUUGUAACGUCUCGGUCUAACCGAGAUGAGCGAUCGGUCCCACCGAGUUCGCAGUGCAAACUCUCUCUUUCCUUUUCGUAACGUUUCGAUCUCACCGAAAUGAGCGAUCGGUCCCACCAAGUUGGCCUGACGAAGUCUCUCUUUGCUUAUUACUGAAAUCGGUCUCACCGAGUUCAUGUGGUCGGUCUCAUCGAGAUGAGGUUUUGCUCUAACCCUAGCGCAUCGGUCUCACCGACCUUAUAUUGUCGGUCCCACCGAAAAGCCUAACAUUUACAUUUUGAACUAGGGCGGUCUCAUCGAGUUUCACUAGUAGGUCCCACCAAGUUUGGUAAAUUGUGUAUAAUGGUUAGAUUUUGUGUGGAGGCUAUAUAUACCCCUCCACCCCAUUCUCCAUUUGAGAGAGAGCCAUCAGAACGUGCCCACACUUCCACUACUCAUUUUCUGAGAGAGAACCACCUACUCAUGUGUUGAGACCAGCACUAGUAGAAAAAGGGGCUAAUCUGAGACACAUUAGUGCUGGUUUGAUUUUGAGCCGGCACAAAUGUGUCCAUUAGUGCCGGUUCCAACGGCUAGGCGGGCGGACAUCAUCAGUACCGGUUCGUGGGCAACAAUUAGUACCGGUUCAUGCCACGAACAGGUACUAAUGAUGUUGUGUCAGGCUGUGGGCCCCACGAACACCUUUAGUACCGGUUCAUGGCAUGAACCGGUACUAGAGUUUCUUAUUAAGCUGAUUUUUAGUCCCACCUCGCUAGGAGAGAGGCAGUAGUGGCGGUUUAUAAGCCGUGAGUGCAGAGACGAUGAAGGAGAGGCGCAAUGCUCACCUGCAAGUUGCUUAGCUUCAAGCCUUUCGGAACAGAAUAGAUUGCACGGAGCUGUGUGUAGUGUAGCUACCCUAUUCCGAAGGCUUGAAGCUAACUAACGAGCAUUGCGCCUUUUUUUAUUUUUAGUAACUUGUUAGAACUCCGUACUUCUUGUGUUACGGCAAAAACUGGAUGCACUUUGUGUACAAACCGGACAAUCUCUUUCGAAGUAUCAGGGCCGGUUUCGGACGAAAACUCAUCUGUUACACCGACACUUCAUUUUUUAAUCUUAUUACAACUUCGGACUUUUUUGCGUUCACUACGCACCAUUCUAAGCCACGUCAUCAAUUUUCGACCCUUUCUGACAUCAUUUGCUCCCCUAGCACGAACCGGUACUAAAGAGGUUGUGGCAGGACUAUUUUUAGUCCCACUCGCAUAGGAGUAUAGCAUGUGCGAAAGAGUAGAGAGGGUCACGGCAAAAAAGAAAAAAGUAUAUAAAAAAUUACUCAAAAAUAAAUAGAAGAAAACAAAUAAAGCAGAAAAGAAAAAACUAUAUAUAAAGAAGAAGAAGCAGAAGAAGAAUAAGAAGAAGAAGAAGAAGAAGAAGAAGAAGAAGAAGAAGAAGAAGAAGAGGAAGAAGAGGAAGAAGNNNNNNNNNNNNNNNNNNNNNNNNNNNNNNNNNNNNNNNNNNNNNNNNNNNNNNNNNNNNNNNNNNNNNNNNNNNNNNNNNNNNNNNNNNNNNNNNNNNNAUAAAGCAAAAAUAUUCACAAAGAAACUAAAUACAGCAAAAAACUACUCAGAAAUAAAUAGAAGAAAAAAGAAAAGCAGAAAAGAAAAAAAUAUAUAAAAAAUUACUCAAAAAUAAAUAGAAGAAAAUAAAUAAUGCAGGAAAACAAAUUUAUAUAAAAAAUGUUGGGGCGCUGCCCGGUGGGUCUGCCAGACCUAGGGUGUGCAAACGCAGGCCCAAAAGGGCCAGCAAGCUCACAGGGCAAUGCCCCCUAGCUAAUCAGGCCCAGAAGCCUGCUAUAUAGAGGAGUUCGAAAGGGCAGCCGCAGCUGGGUUUAUAAACCAGUGCGGCUGCCCUUCACUCGGCAAGGUGGGACUAAAAGUAGCGCACUGCGGGUGGCAGCGCACGACCAUUAGUACCGGUUGGUGGCUCCAACCGGUACUAAUGUGUUGCCCUUUAGUACCGUUUGGAGCCACCAACCGGUACUAAAGGACCUUGUUUCCCGCCGCUUGGGCUGGCCAAAAUUGGCCUUUAGUACCGGUUGGAGCCAGCAACCGGUACUAAAGGCCCAUCCUAUAUAUAUUACACUUACGAAAAAUCAGUUAUCGUCGACCACUUCGUUCCACUUCUCCCCCGACAGCAUCGAUCUAUCGCGCCGACGCCGACGCCGCCGCGCCGCCAUGCCGUCGCCCCCGCCGCCCGUCGUCACCACCCCUGCNNNNNNNNNNNNNNNNNNNNNNNNNNNNNNNNNNNNNNNNNNNNNNNNNNNNNNNNNNNNNNNNNNNNNNNNNNNNNNNNNNNNNNNNNNNNNNNNNNNNNNNNNNNNNNNNNNNNNNNNNNNNNNNNNNNNNNNNNNNNNNNNNNNNNNNNNNNNNNNNNNNNNNNNNNNNNNNNNNNNNNNNNNNNNNNNNNNNNNNNNNNNNNNNNNNNNNNNNNNNNNNNNNNNNNNNNNNNNNNNNNNNNNNNNNNNNNNNNNNNNNNNNNNNNNNNNNNNNNNNNNNNNNNNNNNNNNNNNNNNNNNNNNNNNNNNNNNNNNNNNNNNNNNNNNNNNNNNNNNNNNNNNNNNNNNNNNNNNNNNNNNNNNNNNNNNNNNNNNNNNNNNNNNNNNNNNNNNNNNNNNNNNNNNNNNNNNNNNNNNNNNNNNNNNNNNNNNNNNNNNNNNNNNNNNNNNNNNNNNNNNNNNNNNNNNNNNNNNNNNNNNNNNNNNNNNNNNNNNNNNNNNNNNNNNNNNNNNNNNNNNNNNNNNNNNNNNNNNNNNNNNNNNNNNNNNNNNNNNNNNNNNNNNNNNNNNNNNNNNNNNNNNNNNNNNNNNNNNNNNNNNNNNNNNNNNNNNNNNNNNNNNNNNNNNNNNNNNNNNNNNNNNNNNNNNNNNNNNNNNNNNNNNNNNNNNNNNNNNNNNNNNNNNNNNNNNNNNNNNNNNNNNNNNNNNNNNNNNNNNNNNNNNNNNNNNNNNNNNNNNNNNNNNNNNNNNNNNNNNNNNNNNNNNNNNNNNNNNNNNNNNNNNNNNNNNNNNNNNNNNNNNNNNNNNNNNNNNNNNNNNNNNNNNNNNNNNNNNNNNNNNNNNNNNNNNNNNNNNNNNNNNNNNNNNNNNNNNNNNNNNNNNNNNNNNNNNNNNNNNNNNNNNNNNNNNNNNNNNNNNNNNNNNNNNNNNNNNNNNNNNNNNNNNNNNNNNNNNNNNNNNNNNNNNNNNNNNNNNNNNNNNNNNNNNNNNNNNNNNNNNNNNNNNNNNNNNNNNNNNNNNNNNNNNNNNNNNNNNNNNNNNNNNNNNNNNNGUUUAUUUUUAGUGAAUGCUUAGUUGAACUAGUUGAAUUAAUAUAACUACUUUAUUUUUAGUAAGAAAAUUUAGGUAUAUGAGAUUAGUUGAACUAGUUGAAUUAAUAGAACUAGUUUAUUUUUAGUAAAUGCUUUGUUGAACUAGUUGAAUUAAUAGAACUAGUUUAUUUUUAGCAAGAAAAUUUAGGUAUAUGAGAUUAUUUGAACUAAUUAAAAUUUAGGUAUAUGAGAUUGUUUGAAUUAAUAUAACUAUUUAUUUUUAGUAAAUGCUUAGUUGAAUUAGUUGAAUUAGUAAGUGUUUAAUGUUUCGCCUAGAUGAACAUACGAAAUGUCAUCUGACGACGGAAAAAAUUUCAUUAUGUGCGAAUACUGUGAAGACCAGCGCGGCCAGUGCGACAGAAAUUUCCUUGUUGAUGAUAGGGGAUUCAACAUCAAGAUGGAUGAGACCUUCGAAUUCGAUAUAGUAAGUCACAACAACAAGUCUGUUUUCAUAAUUAAGCAUGACUUAUAUAUGCUUCAUUUGCCUGACUUAUAAUUUUUAAUUUUCACUAUUCUACUAGCGCAUCCCCUGCCAUGCAAGAAUUUUUGUCUUGGAUAAGAUAGGUUCCAAUAAUAUGGAAACUAUGGAGGUAAAGAGAGUUUACCUAAAAACUGAGCAUGGUUAUACUUUCAACGUCAAAGUAUACAAUGCACACACAUACACCUAUUUUGAAUGCAAAACUUGGCAAGCACUAUGCAAGACUUAUCCAUUUGAGCCUGGUAUGGUUAUCACCUUUGAUAUUCGUCUGGAAGAUGAUAUUGAAGGUAAUAGAGACAUAUGGGUCAAUGUGCAAACGCCUCCAAUUCUACCAUUAUGUGAGUUCUUCUCAACUAUAUUUUUGUCUUUGAUAUUGCUUAUUCAGAAAUAAUUGAGAACUAAUUUCUAUUGACAGCUUAUCUCCAUUCAAGCAAACAUGUCCGGUGCUUGGUAGACAUGACCUACUACUGUCCCGGAGCUGAACUAAACUGCGAGGAGAUAAGUCAUUAUGUUUCAUGGCUUGAGGAUCUUCAUACUGUCAAGACAAAUUUUCUGCCUGCACUUAGAAAUGUUAGUACUCAAAACAUGCGACCAAUAGUGAUGGUAUUGAACUACGGUCACAUCUAUUUAGGAAUGAUGGUAAGAUUUUUACUAUUUGUCCUUAGUGCAUCUUUUGCAUACAUAUUUUUUUUGCUAAACUUUCAUUGCUAAGUAUAUUAAUUAAGUACUAUACGAUGUUCUUCAACAGGGACUCCCGAUGACAGUUGUGCCUCAGGGGAUCGAGACUAAAGGUCGCAUGUCAAUUGUUAGCUUACGACCAAGAUAUCCUGCAUUGCACAUGAAUGCAUUCAAGAUUUCUAGAAGCGAUGAAUGCUUAAUACUGAAAGAUUGGAGGAAAAUUGUUAACGAUCACAGAGAAGUACUAGGGGGUAGCAAUGAGAAGCGCAGCCCACGAUUAGGAGACAGGUUCAUCUGCAUGCUCUAGUAUGAUGUAUCAGGAGAGCUAUACAUGUUCUAUGCUAUUUUACCAAAGAGAGUGUAGCUAGUAGGAGUGAUUUAGCUAGUUCAUGCUGCUCUUAGUACUUGUCCUUUCAUGUCCGUGUUCUUCGUUCUGAACUUAAUCUCAAAGAGUGAUUUUCUUUUGUCGUGUUAUAUAUGAGCGCUUAUAAUAUCAUGACAAUCAUAUUGAACUCGAUGAUAUUUUUGCUUCUGGUACAAGUGAAUGUUUCUUCUUUAAGCUACUGUGAUUAGAUAGCGCUAAUGACUAUGAUGAUUAAAUAGUGAUAAUCACGACUACGAUGAUUAUUAGAUAGCUAGCUCUAGAGUAUGUUGAUGAUAUGAUGCAAGAGUUUUUAUAUUAAUAUGACAAUGAUGAUGAGUUAUUAUAUCAUUUAAUGAAAGAAACCACAGAUUAGUUUCAGCUGGAUGGAUCCUACCUAAGUGAUCAACUAUAUAUAUGCCAUAUCCAUAUAUAUUAUACUUGAUCACCUAAUUAGGUGAUCAAGUAUAAUAUCGAUAUGGCAUAUACUUGAUCACUUAGCUAGCUAGAUCCUCCAGUCGAAACUAAUCCGCGGUACUUUCACCUAAUGAUUUAACAACUCAUUAUAAUGUAAAACAAUCACUAAAUUAAAUUGAAAACACAAAACUAAAGCAAAACUUAAAAAAACCGGUUGGUGUUACCAACCGGUACUAAAGCCCUACGUGCACCCGGGCCUGGCUCAUGCCAUGUGUUUGCACUUUAGUGCCGGUUCGUGAUGAACCGGUACUAAAGGGGGGGGACCUUUAGUCCCCACUCUUUAGUGCCGGUUGGCGAACCGGUAGUAAAGGCCGUUAUGAACCGGCACUAAAGGUCGGUUCUGCACUAGUGCAAGACAUUCCAAUCCAACCACAAGAAUCUUGAUCUCUAGCCUUCCCGAGGUUGCUUUCCACUCAAAUCAUCUUUCCACCAUAUCCAAAUCUGUGAGAGAGUUUUGAGUGUUGGGGCUACUAUCAAUUGAAGCACAAGAGAAAGGAGUUCAUCAUCAACACACCAUCUAUUACCUUUUGGAGAGUGGUGUCUCCUAGUUUGGUUAGGUGUCACUUGGGAGCCUCCGUCAAGAUUGUGGAGUUGAACCAAGGAGUUUGUAAGGGCAAGGAGAUCGCCUACUUCAUGAAGAUCUACCCAAGUGAGGCAAGUCCUUCGUGGGCGAUGGCCAUGGUGGGAUAGACAAGGUUGCUUCUUUGUGGACCCUUCGUGGGAGGAGCCCUCCAUGGACUCGCGCAACCGUUAUCCUUCGUGGGUUGAAGUCUCCAUCAACUUGGAUGUAUGAUAGCACCACCUAUUGGAACCACAUAAAAUAUCUCCGUGUCUACAUUGCGUUUGCUCCCUCCAAACUCCUCCCCUUUACCUUCAUAUGCAAUGAUUUACAUUCCACCGCUAUACUCUUAGAAUUGCAUGCGUAGGUUGAUUGCUUGACUUGUGUUAAGUUGCUAAAAUCUACCAAGACUUAAAAUUGGCAAAAUGCAAGACUUUAAUUUGGUCAAUUAGUCUAAUCACCCCCCUCACUUUAGAUAUACUUUAAAUCCUAUAGGCUUCAUCUCUUCGAGGUGACCUGUUCAUGGUUGAGGGUUGUGGUGACUUGAAGCGGUGCUCUCUCUCCUACCGGUCAUUUGCUUGAAGUUGUGUUGUUGUUCUUUACCAUCUUUGUAUCAUGCCUUGUGUGCAUGUGUUACGGUGUCAUGUCGUAUUGUAUCUGCUGGAUUGUACGAUGGUCAUUGCUUUUUUUACAUCAAAGUACUCUUUGUUGCAAGUUUAUCACCAUAAUAUCUUUUACAAGAGUAUCAACAAUCUCUACGGGUGGAUCUUCCAUCCGCCCUGCACCCAACUUACUUCUCGCUAGUUUGGCUAAAUCAUGGGCAUCACAAUUAGUCUCUCUAGGAGCAUGCUCAAAAAUAAUAUGAGGGAAUUCACAUGCAGGGUGAUCUAUAUAAUCAAAAACUGCCACCGAUAGACCAUAAUAGCAACCUCAAUUAUUCAUUGUCUCUAUCACCUCUAUGCAAUUACACCCGAUUGUAGUUGCCAAAUUGAGACCAAACCAUAAGUCUAGUGCCUCGGCCCUAAGUGCAUCUCCACACCAAUCGACUUACCUGUUUCAUGCCGCGACGAAUCUACCAUUCAAGUUUAUGAUGACGGUGCCAUAUGAGCCCUUGAGUAAGUCUGGGUCAAAAGCCCAAUCCACGUUUAGCUUCACAUAGUUUCUCCUUGGUCUUUCCCAGCCAUGCUUCUUGAUCAUCGCCUUUGCAUCACUCGCCAUAUUAUAGUUAGCAAACGAAGCUCUGAUUUCCAUUGCUAUGAAAUUAUGUUCCUGGACCAUUUCAAUACGCACUAACUUUCUCCUCCCCCUCCAUAAAUAUCAGGAACCAAUAGCAAUUGGUUCUAUUGAAUUUUCUAGAACGAGGACCACACAUUCUUUAGCUAGUUGCAACAAUAAAUAUUCUAGCACAAAUUCUCCCACAUGAUCCAUAGUGCAUGCUUUAUCAAUAGCAAAGUCCAAACCUAGUAAUAGCCAUACAUCUUUAGCUCUUGCACAAAUGAAUAACAAGUGCUUGGUAUCAUCUGCUCCUAUACCGCAUGUAGGACAUUGCUCACUGACUUUUAUAUGCCUGUUAGCCAAAGUCACCCGACAAGGUAGCGAUCCUAACAAAGUUCACGCGAGGAAACUUUUAACCUUGGCCGGACAGCUUAAGCUCCAGAUGGUCCCCCAUAUUGGUGAAAUCCGUGAAAGUCCGACUGUAUUUUCUCCUGAUAUCACAAGUAUUAGUUAUGAACUUAUGAUGCAGGCUCAAGUAUAAUAAAAACACUCAUUGUGAACAAUGAAAAAAAACAAAAAGAUAAUAUACAAAAUAUCUUAUAAUGAAAUGUACCCAAGGCUGAGAUGACAACUCACUCUUAUGAGACGUUGCGUUUGGAGAUCAAUAAUACACUAUACCAACACAAAUGCAUGUUUAGUGAUUGUUUAAUGCACAUGAAAGGUACAAAGUUUGGAGAACUAUAUACAUAACCAAUGCGUCCACUUAUAGUAUUAGCCAACAGAAAAAGUCAUGCAUUUUCAUUUAUAUUCUUUAGUGAUAGCUACAUGAUAAUAACUGUCUCAUGUGUAAACCACAGUGCCAUACAAUGCAUCCUUGGUUGACUAUGAUGGUAAUGAAUAAUAGAUACUACAAUUAUUGUGAAAGUUUUGUAUAUCCCAUAACGGAAGAUCCGGCACCUCAUAACAACCCAUCCAUGUCAUUCACGGGCUAGAUAACAUCACUGGUUGAUAUCGACACCCCUAUGGACAUAUUGUCGUCUCAACAUGCAAGUACCGUCUUCCAUGGUAUGAUUUCAUUGUUAGAAUCUGUAACCUCGACGAGGCAUACAUUUUCGUAGUUCAACACCCCAUGCACUCUCAAAGCCAUGGUUAACAACCAACUAAAGGAGGGUGCAUCGGGUACUAUCAACAGAAAUUGAUGCAUAACAUUAUGUGGCCAACAUACCCGACUAGGGUGGAAGUGUGUAUGGUAUUUCCUAGUUUCAAAGAGGUGGACCCUAAUGAAAAACCUCAAGGCGCAGAUGAGGGAAUACACUAUAUUCCAUUCGAGAGUGCCCGAGGUGGACUCCUAGGUGGCCUAAGUCACAAAUACAUUUGGGGACACACUCCCCGUAGCUAGCAAACACCCUCACCGCUGGCGCUCUGUACGAAUGUCCCUACACUGGACCAUCUACUUUUGGUUUUGAAGAGCCGAAGGUCCUCAGGAUAUAGUGGUGGCUAAUGAUGAGAGCACUGACAAAGAUGAGCCACCGCCUGACUAUGAGCAUGGGGAGGGGGAUGUUAAUAUGUAUUUUUCACAAUGAAUUUGAUGAUGGCAUGACUUCUCCGGUUAACCAUAAUGUUAUCGAGAGUGUGUUUAAUAUGCCACCAGCAGUCGACACUCAAAAUGAUGAAUGUCCCUCCAAAGGGAAUGUCAUUACUCUGAUCACAUUGAAUGGGUCAAUUUGAGACACUCUCGCAGCUCCCAGUUAUUGUUGUACCUAGUAAUGGGAGGAAGAAGAGAUGGAAAAAGUCUGAUUACACAAGGCACGGGCGCUGCUGGUAGGCAGAAACUGGUUCGAAAGACGAUUAUAGAUUUCGGUUUACCGUACCUUUUGUGUAGUUUCUACUUAAGUUUUAAAGAUGCAUGGUGAAAAUGACCUACUAGGUUUACUUCAUUAACCUUAGUGUCAUUUGAUGUAUUGAAACAUGAUAAUUCUAGCACGACAACAACAUGCACGCUCCGGCUCAUAAAUGCUACCAUUGUAGCAAAAAGAUUAACUAAAAAUGCAACCACGACAUCUUAUAGUAGCCCCAAGGCUGGAAAACUCUACCAUGGUAACUAAAUGAGCAAUUUGACUCAUAAAUGCUUCCAUGGUAGAGAAAUGUGCCCAUUUAACCAUAAUUGACCACAUGGUAGAAAAUAUGAGGCCAAAGGCUCAAAAGUUCUUCCAUGACAACUAAAAGAGCCAUUUAGCCUAGACUCAUUGCGAUGGCAACUAAUUAAUGAGCCAUUUCGUGAGCUAACUGAGCCAUCAGGCACAGAAUUGCUGCCAUGGCAGCAAAAAAUGAACGCAAAACUACCAUCACAACAAAUAUGAGCCCCAAGGUUACAAAUUUUGCCAUGCCUAGAUUUGCUAUAUGCUAAUCUUGCUAUUUGUUUCCAUGUGCUAUGUAUGGUAUCUAAGUUGCUAUAAAAGACAUCUAGCUAUGUAUAUAUGUUGACAUAUAUUUGAUAUGAUGUAUGUCGACAUUUUCUCUUCAUUACGACACGUCAAAGAUUCAUUGACCAAAACUUCAACAGUUCCGAGGCACCGCAGUGAAGCUAGACGACAAUGGAUGCGUUUUACAAAUUCUCCCUGUGAAAUGAAUGCAUGUAACUCAAUGAUAUCAAUUUGUGUUAUGUAAAUUAACGUGUGUGUUGCAAUUUGUAUAUUUGAAUUCAUGUAAAAUGUGAUACAUAAAAUUAUCUAUUUAAUGCAUACUUUUUAUUUUGAUAUAUGAAUCAUAUGUGCAAACGCUGCCACAACACAAAAUACACGGUCGUAUCAUUUCUUUCCCAAAACAAAGGCCCGAACAAGACACUUGUAUGUGCCUUACUAUUGUAUGAAAGGCCCGAACAAGACACUUGUAUGUGCCUUACUAUUGUCGUGCAGGCAUGUUGGAGAUAUGCCCUAGAGGCAAUCAUGUAUGAUGAUAUUUCCUAUGUGUUUAUGAAUAAAGAUAGUUCUUAGACAUUAUCAAUGAUGUAUAUCAGCAAGUACGUGACUUGUUUGUGGGACUAUCCAUUGUAUGAUUACUGUCCUAAAAGGUCCCUAGUCGAAAGGGUUGUGUGGACGCGCAACCAACUAGACUAGCAUAUGACACGGUCGAUGGCUUGGUCUCAGUAGCCAUGGAGCAUUGGAUGCUAACCGGAUAAUAUGGACUUGGAAGGAUCUGGUCGGGUUUGACAUAGUCAGAUCCGAGUCGAGAUAAGGUCCGAGACAGACAGACCCAACUAUGAGACAUAGCGAUAUGUCAUCCAUGAGUCUCUAAUACAACUUACGUUCUAUGUUCUAAGACCUGAGCUGGAGCAUGUACUCGGGAUGGUGACAGACCUGCUUUGGGCCAACCAAAUGCUACUCUGUGACUGGGUAGUUACAAAGGUAGGUUUUGGGCUUGUCCAGACCCAUUUUGCGAGACAUGGUCGAGCAAGAUGGGAUUUGCCUCGCCGAUUAGGAGAAUAUACUCUGGGCCCCUCGUAUGAUCUGACCAGGAUAAUCAUGGCCAUGCAAAAAGUAUUAUGAGAUAAUCCGUUUGUGGUCAACAUCACUGGAACGAGAAAGAGGUCGAGCUAGCACAAGGAAGACAGACUCGCCUUGAGCCCAACAAAAUAUAUCGUGUGGCGAAAGGAAUAGAAGUGUGAUGUACAGGUUCGCCAAAUGGCUUCAUUGUCUACUUGGUGGGCGGCACGGCUUGCUAGAGGUCGCUACCAGCCGAGCAAGUCGGAGGUGAUCUGACUUGCGGCCAAGACGACUUGAACCUACGGGGUCGCGCACAUAAGGGAAGGAACCUGUGAGGCUCGGUUCGACUCCACGAGUCAGGUGUGAUCCUACUUGGACUCGGAUCCAUGCACUACUAGGGAAAAGCCUAUACACAGAAUCUUAUCAGCAGCGCGCUUUAAAAUAAGGCGCUGCUGCUAAUUAGCAGUAGCGAGCUCAAGAAUAAGUCGCUGCUGAAAUAAAUAUAGCAGUAGCGCGCACGCUCAAAGACGCGCUACUGCUAUAAUUCCCACGAGGCCACCGCAAGGCUAGUUAUAGCAGCAACGCGUUAUAUCGAAGGGCGCUACUGCUAGUUGAUUUAGUAGAUUUAGUAGGCUAGUUCAUUUAGUUGAUUUAGAACAUUUUGAUUUAGUUGAUUUAGUAGGCUAGUUCAUUUAGUUGAUUUAGAACAUUUUCAUUUAGUUGAUUGUCCAUCAAAUUGCUUCUCGUGGUAGAAGCAAAAAUAUCACAUGCUACUGUUUUUCUUUUCUGUGAAGUGGAUCGUUAAUCCUUUGCUCAUAUUGCUUUAGGAAAAAUGGCGCCACCACCACCACCACUAUGUCGACUGUGCAAGUCAAGGUGCGCCAGUAGCCUUGCAACUGGCAAGCUGUCCGGCAUCUACUUCCAGCCGAGUUUUUAUCAUGCAGCGGUAAGAAAUUAGAUGAAAUGUAAUAACUAUUUUAUUUUUAGUGUUGGCAUUACUGCAUUGUGUCAUUUUACUUAUUUUACACAUAUCAUCCCAUGCAAUGUGAGGUUGAAAUUCAACAAGCUGACAGGAGACACUGUGACAUUUGAGGCUCCUGGGCGGCCGUACACUAUGGAGGUUGAGAAAGGACGCAAUAUGUCGCAGAUUGGAGGAGAUGGAUGGGCCUGUUUCGUCACUCGCAUGCGUCUUACUGGUGGUGAGUUGAUCAGCUUCUCCUUCAGAGCAGAAAGAGCCAAGCUGGCUAUCAUUUGUCUCAACUUGGUGGCAGAUGAUGAAGAUGACGAAGAUGAUGAAGAUAAUGAGGACCCACUCGAUGAAGAUGAUGAGGACCCACUUCAUGAAGCCAUCGUAGCUCAAAGAACAAAGCUGAGCGAGGAGGAGGUGUCCAACCUGUGGGACAUAAUUCCGCCACAUGCUGACUUUCUCGGGGUGCCAUUCAUGACCCGCCUGACAAAUAACAUGGUUGAUCGACAUGAUAUGGUAUGUUAUACUUACUAAUGCAAAUUAUCUGAUGAAAUACUUAGUGUACAGUCCAAUGAUAUGGUAUGUUGUGUGGAAUCUAGUCGAUGAUAUGUUUUAGUGCAAAGUUCGAUCACAUGCUUAUUAGUGUAGAAUCUAAGGAAACUAUUAAUAGUGUAGAUAAUCCAUAUGUACUUAUUUGUGAGGCUAUUUAUUAAUUGAUAUGUUUUUCUUAUUCAGAAGUUGGUGAAGAGCAUAUCUAUGAGUUAUGGUAUCGAGCCUGAUGAAGAAGGCUCAGCUGGACUACGCCUUACUGCAAGGGGCUCCGUCACAACCUGUACUUACUGCGUGGACACGGACGGUCGCACACACUUAAACUCGGUUGGGUGGAAGAAAUUCCUCGAUGGCAAGAAUCUUCGUGUUGGACAGGCCAUCCUAAUUACUAUCAGGAACACCAACCGCCCAGGCUUGAGGAUGAUGAUUGUCUUUGAUAUCAUCUAGAACUACAUUUGUGUGUGUGGCUAUAUCAUCUAGAACUACAUAUGUGUGUGUGGCUAUAUCAUCUAGUACUACAUAUGAUGAUCGUCGUUGAUAUCAUCUAGAACUAUAUAUGAUGAUCGCCGUUGAUAUGACCUUGUACUGCUUGAGGAUGCAUGUUGACUAUGCAUGAAAUUGUUAUCUAGUACUCCCUUCGUUCUAAAUUACUCGUCGUGGUUUGAACUAAAACCACACGAGUAAUUUGGAACGAAUGGAGUACUACCCAGUAAUGGUUUAUGAAUUUGAUAUCUACUAGCAGUACCUUGUAUCUAGUAUCUGAAAGGGAAACUGAAAGGGAAAGGGAUACUGGAAAAUGAUAAAAGAUAUAGCAGUAGCGAGGGACUGCGAAAUCGCUACAGCUAAGUAAUAGUAGCGUGUUCAUAAAAAGCGCUGCUGAUAGCAUCAACAGUAGUAGCGCGGGUACGGACCGCGCUACUACUAUAAGUUAGUUGUAGCACCUUAUUAGUAGCGCAGCCACCCGCGCUGCUGCUACCCCAAAACCCGCGCUACUACUAGGAUUUUCCCUAGUAGUGAUGCCGGACAGAUUUUUGGCUUUAGGAUCCGUGUGAGGCCCAAGCGUUGAGCCCAUGACGGAUGCCUAUAUAAAGUGGGGUUGCGGCACACUCAUGCAAUUGAUCGCUUCGGUGCUGUCACUAGGGUUUCCAUGUGUUGCGAAUAGCCACCUCCACUCGCUGCCGACUGUGUGAUCGGACCUAGCAGCCCGCCGCACGGUGUUCCUCCUGCACGCGUGGAUGCCGCUAGAGGCGGUGCACCUGCGCCGCUCUAGCGAACUUGUACGUUGGAUCGGACGACCGGCUGUUUGAGGGAGAUCAGACGAGGAGGAGACGAUCCAUGUUGACGUGCUGCCCCAACUCUUCUUCCGCUGCACGGCACUGCGCUCUGCGCGUCUAGUGGUAACGAUCUGUGAUCCAUCUCCCGUAGCAUGUUCUUGGUUGUUCUACACAUAGGAAAAUUUUAAUUUGCAGCCGACGCACCCUACCGUAGAAUCCAACAAGGCAAACAGGCCCGCUAGUAAGUUACUCGCUCGUCAUUAGUAAUCACUUACAAGUGGCAUCAUACUAGUGGUGUGCCGAUCGAACGCCGCUAGUAGGCACAUGCGCAAGCUGCUAAUAAGUGGAUCCUGUACAUUGGUGGUGGGAGUCACGAUACUCGUGGGCGAAGCUCUUAACUAAGGUGCGGGAUGGUGGCCAUGGCCGUGCAGGGGGUGGGGUGAUUGCGGUACAGCGUUCAGUGGCGUUGAUGUGGGAGGUGUCUUCAUGACUAGUUGUACUAUGUUGCAGAGGCUACUACCUCUUCCUCAAGGCACCGCCUGGGAGUACAUGGUUGACGGCUCUCAUGACUUCAAGAAAUAUGCUCUCUAUCCUACCAGCCAUUUUCUUGGAGUUUUUUGUCUUUUUCCGAAAAGAAGAAUAACCUUGGCCUCUGCAUCAAACAAUGCACUCAUCCAUCUUUAUUAAAUUAUUCAACAGAGGCUGGCACAAUAAAUACAAGGAUUAAUCCAAAGCCACCUUUCUGACGAACUAUGUCGCUACACCUAUGAGCUUGAUGAUGAACCCCGACCGCACCAACGCACACCAUCUAAUCUGGUGGACUACGAGAGUCACCGCCUGCGAGCCGAGAGCACCAACCGUCCUAGCAAACCCAAUGCGCACACCACAUGCGCGUGGUCCAGGAUCAUGCGCUACCAUCUACCGCUGUCCCAUCUUCAAGAGUGAUCCUUGCACUAACCUUGCUAGGCCCACAUGACAUCGAUGCUGCCACGACGCUAGACAACGCCACCAGCCUGCGUGUAGCCAUCAGCCCACCUCCAACACCGAUACUCCACCGCACCAUGCCGCCGAGACCCACCGUUCUUGAUGCGGUAGAUGCAACACCGCUCCACCUCUUGUCCCCUCCAUUCGGUACCUACUCCAAACAGUGCCCCAGGAGAGAGAAUGACACAACUCCCUAUCAUUAUCCGAUCUGGGAGACCCAGAUCUAGGAUUUCUCCUGGAGCAGAUGCCUCCGAGAGGAAGAAGGGCACACCAUCUGUAGUUGCCAACGAACCCAAAGGGUGCCCACCCACACAACGAGCCAUUUUCCUGGAGUUGUCUUGUUGUUCUUCAGCAUCCUUGUACAAUGCCUUGUGUGCAUGUGUUGCGGUGUCAUGUCGUGUUGUGUUGUAUGUUUUGAAUUGCAUGAUUUGUAUAUAAAGUGGAGCGGAAGUCUUUUUGAGAAAUAGUAAGAUCAAUUGCCUCAGUUGAAACUUGAAAGUGCAUUUUUUGACUUUGACAAUGGAAGUCAGGGCCAAGGCCGACCUGAUGCGCAGGAAAAGGGACAAGCACACAUACAUCCCAUAUGUACCAAGCUUUUUUGUUCUUUUUGUUGCUUGUUGUUUGCUUCCGCUUAAUCCUACGAGAUAUCAAUUGGUUAAUAUAUUUGCUUGAAUAAUGCAUUAUCAUCUGAUUUCUUGUUUAGAUCGAUGUGCUCUCUAUUUUCAAACAGUUUUGUUCUGGGCCUAUUUUGUUCAAUUGGAUAAUUUCAGCGCACAAAUCUAUUGAAUCGAAAUAAAUCGAUUUAUUUCCUCCGGUUUCCCUUUUUCUAGUAACCUAUUUGUUGUUAUUCGAUAGGACAUAUGUUUUGAGAAACCUAACCAAAUUAAUAUACAAAAUGCUCAUCUUUACUCAAUCGUGUCCAUCGUGUCCCAGCCAUACCUUCUCAUUGGUUUCACGAUGGGAGUCGACAUCAUUGGGGGAGAGGGGGGGGGGGAGCGGAGCAGCGCCUCGGUCGCCAUGACAUCCAGCGAUGGUCAUGCCGAGGGCCAUCGUCGUACGCAGAUCACGCGCUUGUAGCAUAACCUGAGUCGCCGUAAUUCGUUUGGGUCAACAUAUCAGCCAUUGUGUUGAUCCCCAAACUCGCGCACAACAUGCUACAUGAUUGGUUCACCGCGGUUGACGUCUUGGAGAUCAUUGCAUGCUACACACCUUUCUUCGGACUCUACGACUCCUUCACAUGCCCAAGAGCACGUGGAUAUGAUACUGAAUUUUUCUUAGCGACCCAAGAUUACUCAUGCAAUUAGCUGGGCACAUAUGAGGUUUCACGGACUAGCAAACACAGAGCACAGAUGGAAUUUGAUGCCAUGAAAACUUGUUUGGAAAACAGAGAGAAAGAACGGUUGUUGCACGACCGACCUAAACACACACCACGUUCCUAAUGACUCGUGCCAUCCCACGAAUCAGAUCAUGCGUGCAUGAUCUACAGCUCCACUAUUAUCGCGUGUGAUCCGAAGGGCCAUGCCAUCCCAUGACUCGGUUCACGACGUGGUAGAAACAGGAGCGACCCCUACCUGACACAUGGACUCGACGCAGACAUGCUUGCCGUCGAGACCUACUCUCAGUGCGUACCGUCUGCUCGCAGGCAGCUAUGGGGCACGUUAUUUGGAACAAACAAAUUGAAAGGAAAAAAAUUAAGGCAUGCAUUAAAUUUACUUCAAUAGAUCAGCCCUUGAUCCACAAACCCACAUCGCGAAGUGGUCUUAGUGGAUCUCGUCACUCUCCGAGUCGAUCUCGUCGUUCUCUGAGUCGGAUAAGUGGUUGUUCACCUGCUCGUGCCUAGCCUGCAAUGCCGUCAACCACAAACACCAUAUCCAGAUUCCGUUACAUUCCCUCAUCACCCAGGCAGAAAAAACUGAAAACCUUGGAAAAAUAGAAUGGAGAUCGAGUUCAUACCCUCCUCAUCUGGGCACGACGGUUCUUGAACCAGAUUUUGAUAUGCUGGGGCUCCACGCGAAACUCGCGACCGAGAUGAGCGCGCUGGGCCUCAUCGGGGUUGGGGCACUCCAUGAAAACACUGCAGUUUUCAAAAAAAUAAAAAUAAAAGAAAACCAUGAAUACCCUGCACAUGAAUCACCAUGAAAAUAUGACACGAGAAAUAAGCUGUAGGAAAUGAUGCUUGAUCAACCUCUCAAGGAUCUGAAUCUGUUUGUCACUUAGGUCCAUUGUUACCAAUUUCUCGUUUGCUCGCUCACACUCUCCCGGGCUGGCUAGAGGAAGAGAAAGUGGAGGCAGGAAGAUAUCUUCAUACUGGAUGCUAUGUGACCUCUAGUUUGCUUCUAUUUAUACACGAGAGGGCGGUGUUUCUCCUCUGUCAGAAUGCUGGCACAAAGAAGCACCCGUCUGUGUGACCUCUGUCUUGCUGCUGGCAGUCUCCUGGUCGGUCUCUCUUAAUGCCUCCUCCUUUUUGGCUUCUUCCACCCUAUAUUGUUGACCGUCCGUCCCUGUAUUGCUUGGGAGCGCCAGCAGCAGAAAUGUUCGCUUUGACUUUUGACCACCGGCUGUCUUGAAGGUUUCUCUUUAUGCAUCCUCUCUCUUGGCUUCGUCCCUGGCUUGCUCGGGAGCGCUAGCAGUAGCGUGAUAGUACUAGUAACUAAUGCGAUGUAAUAAGCUUAUAUCAACAAAUUCAAAUCAUAGUACAGGUCAAUUGGAUUUAUUGACCUGCGAUGUACUCCCUCGGUAAAGAAAUAUACUCCCUCCGUCUAGGUGUAUAAGUCAUCUUAGGUUGUAAAGAAAUAUACUCCCUCCUCAUUUAGCAGAAUUUGCAAAGCACUUCAAAUCAAUUGGGUUUAUGGACCUGCAUCAGUAUGAGUCCUACUGGGUUUGGAUGCAACAAACAAAUGCAGAGUUACCUGAAAAUGGCCGGUGACCUGUCUUGAGUUCAUAAUUUCUCCCCUCCCACAAUUACCAUUGUUCCUCUUGUAGAAAGGGAGAUAAUUAGUCCUGAGUUACGUCCAUGUAUUAGUUGUUAACCACAAGAGGGAUCCUUGCACUAACAUUCCCAGGCCCAACCGCCGUUGACACCAGACAAUGUCACUAGCCUCCAUGGAUCCAUCAACCCACCUCCAACGCCGAUACUCCACUGCACCAUGUCGCCGAGACUCACCGUUUUUAAUGUGGUAGAUGCAACACCGCUCCACCUCUUAGCCCCUCCAGUCAGUACCUAUCCAAAAGAGUGCGCUAGGAGAGAGAAUGACACAAGUCUUCGUCAUCAUCCGAUCUCGGAGAACCGGAUCUAGGGUUUCCCCUGGAGCAGAUGCCUCCUGGAGGAAGAAGAGCAUGCCAUCUGCAGUGGCCAUCGAACCCAAACGGUUCCCACCCGCGUAAUGAGCCAUUUUCUUGGAGUUGUGUUGUUGUUCUUCAGCAUACUUGUACAAUGCCUUGUGUGCGUGUUUUGCGGUGUCGUGUCCUGUUGUGUUGUAUGUGUUGAAUUGUAUGAUUUCUAUAUAAAGUGGAGCGGAAGUCUUUUUGAUAAACAAUGAGAUCAAUUACCUCAGUUGAAACUUGAAAGUGCAUGUUUUGAUUUUGACAGCGGAAGUCAGGGCCAAGGCCGACCUCAUGCGCAGGAAAAGGGACAAGCACACAUGUACCCAAGCUUUUUUCUUCUUUGGUUACCUGUUGUUUGCUUGCGCUUAUUCCUACCAGAUUAUCAAUUGAUUAAUAUAUUUGCUUGAAUAAUGCAUUAUCAUCUGAUUUCUUGCUUAGAUCCAUGUGUUCUCUAUUUUCAAACAGUUUUGGACAGGGCCUAUUUUUUCAAUUGGAUAAUUUUGGUGCACAAAUUUAUCGAAUUGAAAUAAAUCAGUUUAUUUUCUUCUGUUUUCCUUUUUAUAGGAACCUAUGUGUUGGCGUUCGAUAGGACAUAUGUUUUGAGAAACCUAGCCAAGUUCAUAUACCAAAUGCUGACCUUUACUUAAUCAAGUCCCAACCACCCGUUGUCGUUGGUUUCACGGCGAAAAUUGNNNNNNNNNNNNNNNNNNNNNNNNNNNNNNNNNNNNNNNNNNNNNNNNNNNNNNNNNNNNNNNNNNNNNNNNNNNNNNNNNNNNNNNNNNNNNNNNNNNNNNNNNNNNNNNNNNNNNNNNNNNNNNNNNNNNNNNNNNNNNNNNNNNNNNNNNNNNNNNNNNNNNNNNNNNNNNNNNNNNNNNNNNNNNNNNNNNNNNNNNNNNNNNNNNNNNNNNNNNNNNNNNNNNNNNNNNNNNNNNNNNNNNNNNNNNNNNNNNNNNNNNNNNNNNNNNNNNNNNNNNNNNNNNNNNNNNNNNNNNNNNNNNNNNNNNNNNNNNNNNNNNNNGAGCAGCGCUUCGGUCGGCACAGCAUCCAACGAUGGUCAUGCCGACGGCCAUCGUCGUAUAGAAUCACGCGCUUGUUGCAUAACCUAAGUCGUCGUAGUUCGUCCGGGUCAAUAUAUCGGCCAUUGUGUUGAUCCCCGAACUCGCGCAUAACAUACUACAUGAUUGGUUCACCGCGGUUGACCUCCUUGCCAUUGGAGAUCGUUGCAUGCCGCGCACCUUUCUUCGGACUCUACGAUACCUUCACAUGCCCAAGUGCACUUGGAUAUGAUACUGAAUGUUUGUCAGCGACCCAAUAUAACUAAUGCAAUUAGGUGGAUACAUAUGAGGUUUUUCCGAAAAAGGCUUCUGCCCCGCUUUAUAUAUAAAGCCACAUCAACAACUUCCGGUACAAACGCACGCCACCACAACACACGCACACACCCAAGGCAGGAUACAUAGGCGCUGAGUGCAGCAAUAACACCCCUAUCUACGAAGAGAUGAAGCCACAUAUGACGAACCGUGGACUCCAAGACGGCGCCUUCAGGAAGGAUACGACACCGGAGCCUCGCCACCGCCCGACACGAGGGUCAGAGUUUCCCCUGGAGCAACACAAUGGGCAAUGAGAGCCUGGACGACGCCUUCAAGAAGGGAACGAGUUACGCCGCCGUCGGUCCGUCCGAGGAUAGAACAGGUUUUCACCCCGGCCAACACUCACCACCACCGAACGCCACACCCAUGCAACCAUGCCGCCCACACGGCCAUGGCCACCGGGCAGCACCAAGCCACGGCCUCUGCCCACGAGCACCGUGCUACCACCACCAGGGCCGCCGCCCCCGCAUCCAAGACCAAGAGCCCACCUCACUCGAGACCCAUCGCUACCCCAACCAAAGGGACAAGUGGAAAGGCAGGGCCUUUCGCACCCCUGGGAGGCCCCCAGCACCGAGACCCAAUCGGCCGGCCAAAAUUGGCCACCAUCGCCGCGUCCUACAGACCCGGGCACGAGGCGAGCUCGGUCCUGCUGCCGGGCGCGAGACGAGCUCGGUCCUGCGACACCGGGCGCGAGGCGGGCAAUGGACCGCGGCUGGGAGCCGGCCAGCCCUUUGAUGCAAGUAGUGCCUGAACGACGAGGAGGUGAAGCGAAGGCCGAUACGGCCCGACCGCAGACGAGCCGACGCCGGAGAAGCCGACCGCCGCCACGAGCAAAUCCGCCGAGCCACCAUGUAGCCGCCGCACCACCAAGAGGUCACCAUGCCGGACCUCCCGCGACGCCGCCCACGGCAAGAACAACAGCCACGCCCGGCCGCUGCCCCCAUGGGAGCAACUGCCACGCCCGGACAGCCGCCCCCAUUCCGCGUCGCCAGCCGCCCCCAUAUGAGGUUUUACUCUAGCAAACACAGAGCACACAUGGAAUUUGAUGCCAUUAAAACUUGCUACAGCUUUUUUAUUUGGAAUACAGAGAGAAAGAACGGUCGUUGCACGACCGACCUAAACACACACCACGUUCCUAAUGACUCGUGCCAUCCCACGAAUCAGAUCGUGCGUGCAUGAUCUACAGCUGCCCUAUUAUCGUGUUUGAUCCGAUGUGCCAUGCCAUCCCAUGACUCGGUUCACGACAUGGUAGAAACAGGAGCGACCCCAACCUGACACAUGGACUCGAUGCAUGGACUCGACGCAGACAUGCUUGCUGUCGAGACCGACUCUCAGUGCGUAUCGUCUGCUCGGAGGCAGCUCUAUGGCACGUUAUUCGGAACAAACAGAUUGAAGGAAAAAGAACCUAGGGCAUGCACUAAGUUUACUUCAAUGGAUCAGCCCUCCAUCCACAAACCCACAUGGCGAAUUUGUCUUGGUGGAUCUCGUCGUUCUCUGAGUCAAUCUCGUCGUUCUCUGAGUCGAUCUCGUGGUUCUCCGAGUCGGAUAAAUGGUUGUCAACCUGCUCGUUCGUGGCCUGCCAUGGCGUCAAGCACAAACACUACAUCGAGAUCCAUUACAUUCCAUCAUGACCAGGUGAAAAAACUGAAAUCUUGGAAAAAUUGAAAGGAGAUCGAGUUCAUACCCUCCUCAUCUGGGCACGGCGGUUCUUGAACCAGAAUUUGAUCUGCUGGGGCUGCAUGCCAAGUUCACGGCCGAGAUGGGCUCGCUUGGUCUCGUCAGGGUAGAGGAACACCUUGAAAGUCCUGCAGUUUUCAAAAAAGGAAAAAGAAAACCUUGAAUACCCUGUACAUGGAUCACCAUGAAAAUAUGACAGGAGAAAUAAGCCAUAGGAAAUGGUGCUUGAUCAACCUCUCGAGUAUCUGAAUCUGGUUGUCACUUAGAUCCAUUGUUGCCAAUUUCUUGCUUGCUCGCUCACUCUCCCAGUCCCAGGCUACCUAGAGGAAGAGGAAGUGGAGGCAGGAAGAUAUCUUCGUACUGGAUGAUGCGUGCCUCUGGUUUGCUCCUAUUUAUACAUGAGAGGGUGGUGUUUCUCCUCUGUCACAGUGCUGGCGCAAAGAAGCGCCCGUCUGUGUGACCUCUGGCUUGCUGCUGGCAGUCUCCUGGCCGGUCUCUCUUAAUGCCUCCUCCUAUUUGGCUUCUUCCAGCAUAAAUUGCUGACCGUCCAUCCCUGUAUUGCUCCGGAGCGCCAGCAGCAGAAACGUUCGCUUUAACUUUUGACCACCUCGGCUGUCUUGAAGGUUUCUCUUUCCAACGCUGGUCCACAGCCGACACAUUGUGGACGAUUUUGAGACGAUGCAGUGCAUCAAGCCAUCAAUGCAAUUAGCAAAACUGAGGAUCACCGUCCACUCCUCCCGUCGUCCAUAGUUCGGCCGGCGACUGUCGUCCCUACAGCAAUUUCGUUCUCUUUAUGCCUCCUCUCUCUUGGCUUCGUCCCUGUCUUGCUCGGGAGUGCCAGCAGUAGCCUGGUAGUACUAUUAACUGAUGCGAUGUAAGAAUCUGUAAAGCACUUCAAAUCACCCAUGAUAAGAAAACUUAGCAAAGCAUUUCAAAAAAUUCUGAAUUUUUUGGAUGUGAUUAUGACCAAAUAAUUUAGGUGCUUGCAAAAUUUGGUGGUGAAAUGACAUCCGGGGAACUCUGUACAAAAAACCAAAUUUGUGCUGAAAACAUGUGAAUAGUAACAUGGUGCAGAGCAUCAUUUGUAUUCUGUUUUGUAUGAAGAUCAUUUGAUGUUUUUUGGUGACCAUACUUUGCAAGCUCCUAAAACAUUUGCUCAUAAUCAUGUCGAGGAAAUUUCAGAAUUUUUAAUUUUUUAAUAUUUUUUUAAUUUACUGUUUACUCCAUGGGUGCACCAAAGUGGGUGGAGCCACUACUUUCCCAAGAGUUUAUGGACCUGCUUCUAUACGAGUCGUACUGGGUAUGGAUGCAACAAACAAAUGUAGCUACACAAAUGUAUGGCUUGUUAACCUUUAUUAUCAAUUCUACAAUAUUUUAGCAUGCAAUUAGUAGGCAUUAAUUUUCAGCGAUCAGGUGGUGUCGGCGAUCCUUUGUCCUUCCCUUACUGAAGGCGCCAUCUUGGAGUACUUGGUUCGUCGUGUGUCGCUUCAUCUCUUCGAGGUGACUUGUUCAUGGUUGAGGGUUGUGGUGACUUCAAGCGGCGCUCUCUAUCCUACCAGCCGUUUGCUUGGAGUUGUGUUGUUGUUCUUUAACAUCUUUGUAUCAUGCCUUGUGUGCACGUGUUACGGUGUCAUGUCGUAUUGUAUCUGCUGGAUUGUACGAUGGUUGUUGCUUUUUCUGACAUCAAAGUACUCUUUAUUGCAAGGUCAUCAACGUAAUAUCUUUUACAAGGGUAUCAACAAUCUCUAACGGUGGAUCUUCCAUCCACCCUGCACGCAGCUUACUUCUCGCUAGUUUGGCUAAAUCAUGGGCAGCACAAUUAGUCUCUCUAGGAGCAUGCUCAAAAAUAAUAUGCGGGAAAUCACAUGCAGGGUGAUAUAUAUAAUCAAAAACGGCCGCUGAUAGACCGUAAUAGUGAUACGUCUCCAACGUAUCUAUAAUCUUUGAUGUAUUCAUGUCAUGUUUAUAAUAUUUUUACAUGCUUUUGGUAUGAUUUGGUUAGAACUAACCCGGACCGACGUUCUUUUCAGUAGAACUACCAUGGUGUUGUUUUUGUGCAGAAAUAAAAGUUCUCGGAAUGUGCUGAAAAUCAACGGAGAUUUUUUUUCGAAAAUAUAAAAAAUACUGAAACAAAAACUUAUCGAAGAGGAGUCCCGUGGGGCCCACGAGGGCGAAGGGCACGCCCACCCCCAUAGGGCACGCCCCUGUGCCUCAUGGACUCCCCGUGGGUCCCCUAACUUGUUCGCGACGCCAAACCCUCCUAUAAAUACCCGAACUUCCAAAAAGAAACCUAGAUCGGGAGUUCCGCCACCGCAAGCCUCUGUAGCCACCAAAAACCUCUUUGAGCCCGUUUCGGCACCCUGUCGGAGGGGGAAUCCAUCACCGGUCGCCGUCUUCAUCAUCCCGGCACUCUCCAUGACGCGGAGGGAGUAGUUCACCCUCGGGGCUGAGGGUAUGUACCAGUAGCUAUGUGUUUGAUCUCUCUCUCUCUCUCUCUCUCUCUCUCUCUCUCUCUCUCUCGUGUUCUUGAUUUGGCACGAUCUUGAUAUACCGCGAGCUUUGCUAUUAUAGUUGGAUCUUAUGAUGUUUCUCCCCCUCUACUCUCUUGUAAUGGAUUGAGUUUUCCCUUUGAAGUUAUCUUAUUAGACUGAGUCUUUAAGGAUUUGAGAACAGUUGAUGUAUGUCUUGCAUGUGCUUAUUUGUGGUGACAAUGGGAUAUCACGUGAUCUACUAGAUGUAUGUUUUGGUGGUCAACUAGCGGGUUCAGUGACCUUUGAACUUAUGCAUAGGGGUUGGCACAUGUUUUCGUCUUGACUCUCCGGUAGAAACUUUGGUGCACUCUUUCAAGUUCUUUGUGUUGGUUGAAUAGAUGAAUCUGAGAUUGUGUGAUGCAUAUCAUAUAAUCAUACCUGCGGAUACUUGAGGUGACAUUGGAGUAUCUAGGUGACAUUAGGGUUUCGGUUGAUUUGUGUCUUAAGGUGUUAUUUUACCAUGAAUUCUAGGGCUGUUUGUGACACUUAUAGGAAUAACCCAAUGGAUUGAUCGAAAUGAAUAACUUUGAGGUGGUUUCGUACCCUACAAUAAUCUCUUCAUUUGUUCUCUGCUAUUAGUGACUUUGGAGUGACUCUUUGUUGCAUGUUGAGGGAUAGUUAUAUGAUCCAAUUAUCUUAUUAUUGUUGAGAGAACUUGCACUAGUGAAAGGAUGAACCCUAUGCCUUGUUUCCUACCAUUGCAAUACCGUUUACGCUCACGUUUACCACUUGCUACCUUGCUGUUUUUUAUAUUUUUAGAUUACAAAAACCUAUAUCUACCAUCCAUAUUGCACUUGUAUCACCAUCUCUUCGCCGAACUAGUGCACCUAUACAAUUUACCAUUGUAUUGGGUGUGUUGGGGACACAAGAGACUCUUUGCUAUUUGGUUGCAAGGUUAUUUGAGAGAGACCAUCUUCAUCGUACGCCUCCCACGGACUGAUAAACCUUAGGUCAUCCACUUGAGGGAAAUUUGCUACUGUCCUACAAACCUCUGCACUUGGAGGCCCAACAACGUCUACAAGAAGAAGAUUGUGUAGUAGACAUCAAAUAGCGACAUCAAUUAUUCAUUAUCUCUAUCACCUCUAUGCAAUUACACCAAUCGAUUUACCCGUUUCAUGCCGCGAUGAAUCUACCAUUCGAGUCUCUGAUGACGGUGCCAUAUGAGCCAUAAGUCUGGGUCAAAAGCCCAAUCUAUGUUUAGCUUCACAUAGUUGCUCUUUGGUAUUUCCCAGCCAUGAUGCUUGAUCUUCGCUUUUGCAUCACUCGUCGUAGUACAGUUAGCAACCAAAGCUAUGAUUGCCAUUGCUAUGAACAUAGGUUCUUGGACCAUUUCAAUACGCACUAACUCCCCCCCCCACCGACCAUAAAUAUCAGGAACCAAUAGCAAUUGAUUCUAUUGAAUUUUCUAGACCGAGGACCACACAUUCUUUAGCUAGUUGCAACAAUAAAUAUUCGAGCACAACUUCUCCCACAUGAUCCACAGUGCAUGCUUUAUCAAUAGAAAAGUCCAAACCUAGUAAUCAUCAUACCUCUUUAGCUCUUGCACAAGUGAAUAACAAGUGCUUGGUAUCAUUGAUGACCCACAAGUAUAGGGGAUCUAUCGUAGUCCUUUCGAUAAGUAAGAGUGUCGAACCCAACGAGGAGCAGAAGGAAAUGACAAGCGGUUUUCAGCAAGGUAUUCUCUGUAAGCACUAAAAUUAUAGGUAAGAGAUAGUUGUGUGCCAAGAUAAUUUGUUACGUAACAAGAAACGAAAUUACACAAGGUGCAGCAAGGUGGGCCAAUCCUUUCUAUAGCAAAGGAAAAGCCUGGACAAACUCUUAUAUAAAGCAAAGCGCUCCCGAUGACACAUGGGAAUUAUUGUCAAGCUAGUUUUCAUCAUGCGCAUAUGAUUCACAUUCGUUACUUUGAUAAUUUGAUAUGUGAGUGGACCGGUGCUUGGGUGAUGCCCUUCCUUGGACAAGCCUCCCACUUAUAAUUAACCCCUCUCGCAAGCAUCUGCAACUACGGAAGAAGAAUUAAGGUAAACCUAACCAUAGCAUGAAACAUAUGGAUCCAAAUCAGCCCCUUAGGAAGCAACACAUAAACUAGGGUUUAAUAUUAUGUCGCUCUAGCAACCCAUCAUCUACUUAUUACUUCCCAAUGUCUCCCCCUAGUCCCAAAUCAUGGUGAAGUGUCGUGUAGUCGAUGUUCACAUAACAACACUAGAGGAGAGACAACAUACAUCUUCAUCAAAAUAUCGAACGAAUACCAAAUUCACAUGACUACUUAUAACAAGACUUCUCCCAUGUCCUCAGGAAAAAACGUAACUACUCACAAAGCAUAUUCAUGUUCAUAAUCAUACGGGUAUUAAUAUGCAUUAAGGAUCCGAACAUAUGAUCUUCCACCAAAUAAACCAAUUAGCAUCAACUACAAGGAGUAAUCAACACUACUAGAAACCCAUAGGUACCAAUCUGAGGUUUGGGUACAAAGAUUGGAUACAAGAGAUGAACUAGGGUUUGAGAGGAGAUGGUGUUGAUGAAGAUGUUGAUGGAGAUUGACCCCCUCCCGAUGAGAGGAUCGUUUGUGAUGACGAUGGUGAUGAUUUCCCCCUCUCGGAGCGAAGUUUCCCCAGCAGAACAGCUCCGCCGGAGCCCUGGAUUGGUUCCGCCAAGGUUCAUAAUUAUAGGAGUAUUAAUUAUCAUUAAGGAUCUGAACAUAUGAUCUUCCACCGGAUAAACCAACUAGCAUCAACUACAAGGAGUAAUCAACACUACUAGCAACCCACAUGUACCAAUCUGAGGUUUUCAGAGAUAGAGGUGUCGAUAAAAUAAAAUACGGGCAUGAGGGCAUCAUGAUCAUCUUUAUAACAGCAACAUAUAUUGUCAUAUGAUUUCUUAUGCUAACUAAGAAUUCAUUCACAAGGUAAAGUAUGAAUCGGAAACUUCAUUGAAAACUAACAAACUAUGAUCUCAGUCGUUGAAGCAAUUGCAAUCUAUCAUAACAUUGGAAAGAGUCAAUAUAAGAGCUUUUCAACAAGUCUAGACACUCAACUAUCGUUUAGUCUUUCACAAUUGCUAACACUCACGUGAUACUUAUGGAUACAAAGUUUCAAUCGGACACAGAGAAAGAUAGGGGCUUAUAGUUUCGCCUCCCAACCUUUUAGCUCAAAGGUAAUGUCAACAAUAAUACUAUAUGAAAACCUACAUCCGAGUNNNNNNNNNNNNNNNNNNNNNNNNNNNNNNNNNNNNNNNNNNNNNNNNNNNNNNNNNNNNNNNNNNNNNNNNNNNNNNNNNNNNNNNNNNNNNNNNNNNNNNNNNNNNNNNNNNNNNNNNNNNNNNNNNNNNNNNNNNNNNNNNNNNNNNNNNNNNNNNNNNNNNNNNNNNNNNNNNNNNNNNNNNNNNNNNNNNNNNNNNNNNNNNNNNNNNNNNNNNNNNNNNNNNNNNNNNNNNNNNNNNNNNNNNNNNNNNNNNNNNNNNNNNNNNNNNNNNNNNNNNNNNNNNNNNNNNNNNNNNNNNNNNNNNNAAGGAUAAAGUGUAAGAAGGAAAAGUGAAGAUCACCAAGACUCUUGUAUAAGGGUAGAAGGUAAAAAUAAAAGAUACAGCCUUCGCAGAGGGAAAAAGAGGUUGUCAUGCGCUUUUAUGGUUGGAUGCAGAAAAUCUUAAUUCAAAAGAAUGUCACUUUAUAUUGCCGCUUGUGAUAAGGAUCUUUAUUAUGCAGUCCGUCACUUUUAUUUCUUCCACAUCACAAGUUCGUAUAAAGCGUAUUUUCUUCAAACUAAUAGACCAUAAAAAUUUAUAGAGCAAUUUUUAUUGCUUGCACCGAUGACAACUUACUUGAAGGAUCUUACUCAAUCCAUAGGUAGGUAUGACGGACUCUCAUGGCAAAACUGGGUUUAGGGAUGUUUGUAAGCACAAGUAGUAUCUCUACUUGGUGCAAAGAAUUUGGCUAGCAUGAGAGGGAAAUGCAAGCUCAACAUGUUGGAUGAUCGAUGACAAUAUAACUUCAUCCGGAUAUAGGAAAACAUAACCCACUAUGUUGUCUUCCUUGUCCAACAUGAACCUUUUAGCAUGUCAUAUUUUAAUGAGUGCCCACAAAAGAUGUCCAAGAUAGGGUAUUUAUAUGUAAAACCUCUCUUUCUUUAUUACUUCCAAUUAAUUGCAGCAGUGACCAAAACUAUGUUUGUCAACUCUCAACAACUUUUAUUCAUCAUACUCUUUAUAUGUGGAGUCAUUACUCUCCAUAAGAUCAACUUUUAUUCAUCAUACUCUUUAUAUGUGGAGUCAUUACUCUCCAUUAGAGAUUGUUUUUACAUUAUAAUGAGUUAUUAAAUCACUAGCUGAAAUAACCUUGGUUUAGUUUCAAGUGCAUGGAUCCAAAGUAACCAAUGGUCACUUUGGAUCUAUCCAUUUGAAACUAAUCCGCGGUUCUUUCACCCAAUGACAUAAUAACUUAUCAUCAUCAUCAUCAUCAUCAUCAUCAUCAUAAUAUCAUUAACAACUUAUCAUCAUAAUAUAUCAUUGUCAUAUAACUCCUCAUAAUCAUCACUUUCGUCCAUGAGACAUCAUAUAACAACUUCAUCACUAGUUAUAAUAACAACUCCUCAUCAUCAUCAUCAUAAUACUCAUAAUCGCUACUCCUACUCAGCAACACCAUCAAGUCUAAGACAUUCUAGUCAUAUAUAAUCAACAGUAACUUAUUGUUCUUAAUACUUAGGACUUACUCCUCUAUCCUAGCUAAAAUACCAUAAAACAGAUAAACUGGUCCUUCAUAAUAAUGGAGAAUGGACAUAAACCUAUCUCCAACUUGUGGCUUGUGCACAUUCAUUUUGUCUCCAAUUAUUUGCGUGUGCGCAUUCAUCACUUUGCUCCAUUCUUUGAUUUUCAGUCUUCCAUCAUUUGGAGAAAUCGAGUAUGCAGUAUGGUAAGCCUUUGAAGGAGUUGGUCGUAAGCUAACCAUAUGCAUAUCACCUUCGGUAAAUAGCAUGUCAGGCAGAACCUACUUUGGGAGCCUCUGUUCAAAAACGUAAUGUAAACAUAUAUAUUUAGCAAUGUAGUUUACUUAAGAAUAAUGUAUGCAAUGAAGUUACCAUCAUUAAUAAAAUCUUACCAAGUUUUUGGCAAUGAAGUUACCAUCAAGCAAUUUAUGGACUAGUGGCACGUAUCUAGUGUAAUUUGGGCUGAUAGAGUGACUGGUUUUGAAGGCCUCAACAUCUUCUAUGAAUGAGACAAGAUAACCUUUCUCCUCACAAUUAAGCUUGGAGUCAUAGUUGUAGUAUGUGUUGUCUACUACCUUCCGAGUAUUUUUUGAAAAUAAGAAAUAAGUUGAUAAUUAUAAAUAAAUAAGUUUAGUAAGGAUGAACACCAAAUAUUUUUAAAUUAUCAACAUAAAUAACUGAACUUAACAAAUUAGUUUGACAAACUCACAUCUAGGCAAAACUGGAGGCAUAUCCACGUCACCCAGAUGUCGAUAUUAUCAUCAUCAUCAUCAUCUUCGGGACGAAUAUCAAAUCUUAUUCGCAUUCCCUCCUCAAGUCCAUAUGCCUUGUAGAGAGCUUCCCAAUUAGAGCAACCGAAAUGGGAGCAAUCGACCGCAUUAUACAACUUAACCAGAAACUCAUAACCAUGUUUAGUUCUUAAGUGAGCCCUACUCGUCUCCACAUUCUCAAAGUCAUCUAAACCAAAACCAAGCUUCUCCAAUACAUAUGGUCUAGCAUGGCUCUAGAUGUACUAAUAGAAUUGAAAAAAAUCCAAAAUUACACGUUGGACAAAACAAGCACAAGUGAUGAUAUUAAUUAUGAUGAAAUGCUUGCCGUUGCGUACCGUACAAACAUCAAAGGUCUCUUCCAGCUUCACGGUGAAAAACCUAUCAUUUUGCAGGUGAGGAAACCUGUCACACACACCAUGGUCAUCGUAGCAGUACCCACACUCCGGGAUCCCAUCGUCAUUAGACAUCUCCUAUGUUCAAAAUUCAAAGAUUAUAACUCGACGGCCAAACCCAAAAAAUCCGGCAUGACCUUUGAUAAAAAAGGACAUAUCGAGCGCCUAAAAUUUGCCGGAACGGAAAUUAAUCAACACUCCGGCAAAACAUAGGCCACUUACUAAUGGUCAUUGCAUUUCAAUGGUUGACAAUAUGAACAAAAACAUUUGAAAAUAUCUUAUAUAUAAUCCUAACACUAAAUAAACUAGUUUUAUUAACUACUUACUAAAUAAACUAGUUCUAUUAAGCACUUACUAUAAAUAAACUAGUUCUAUUAAGCACUUACUAAAUAAACUAGUUCUAUUAAGCACUUAAUAUAAAUAAACUAGUUAUAUUAAUCACUUACUAAAUAAACUAUUUCUAUUAAACACUUGCUAAAAAUUCUACUACCCUAGUUCUACCCUAAAUUUUCUUACUUCUAUUUUAUUCAAAACACCUANNNNNNNNNNUAAAUAGCAUGUCAGGCACAACCUGCUUCGGGAGCCUCUGUUCAAAAACGUAAUAGUAAAAUAUAUAGUUGGCAAUGUAGUUUACUUAAGAAUAAUGUAUGCAAUGAUGUUACCAUCAUUAACUAAAUCUUACCAAGUUUUUGGCAAUGAAGUUACCAUCAAGCAAUUUAUGGACUAUUGGCACGUAUCUAGUAUAGUUUGGGUUGAUAGAGUGACUGGUUUUGAAUGCCUGGACAUCUUCUAUGAAUGAGACAAGAUAACCUUUCUCCUCACAAUUAAGCUUGGAGGCAUAGCUGUAGUAUGUGUUGUCUACUAUCUUCCGAGUAUUUCUUGAAGAUAAGAAAUAAGCUGACAACUAUAAAUAAAUAAGUUUAGUACCAACGAACACCAAAUAUUUUUAAAUUAACAAUAUAAAAUACUGAACUUAACAAAUUAGUUUGACAAACUAACAUCUAGGCAAAACUGGAGGCAUAUCCACAUCCACCCAGAUGUCGAUAUUAUCAUCAUCAUCAUAAUCUUUGGGAUGAAUAUCAAAUCUUAUUCACAUUCCCUCCUCCAAUACAUAUGCCUUGCAGAGAGCUUUCCAAUUAGAGAAACCGAAAUGGGAGCGAUCGACUGCAUUGUACAACUUAACCAGAAACUUGUCUCCACAUUCUCAAAGUCAUCUAAACCAAAACCAAGCUUCUCCAAUACAUAUGGUCUAGCAUGGCACGGGAUGUACUAAUCGAAUUGAAAAAAAUCCAUAAAUUACACGUUGAACAAAAGAAGCACAAGUGAUGAUAUUAAUUACGAUGAAAUGCUUGUCGUUGCGUACCAUACAAACAUCAAAGGUCUCUUCCAGCUUCAUGGUGAAAACCCUAUCAUUUUGCAGGUGAGGAAACCUGUCGCACAAACCCCGGUCAUCGUAGCAGUACCCGCACUCCAGGAUCCCAUCUUCAUCAGACAUCUCAUGUGUUCAAAAUUCAAAGAUUAUAACUUGAUGACAAAACCCAAAAAAUCCGGCAUGACCUUGGCUAAAAAAGGAGAUAUCGAGCGCCUGAAAUUUGCCGGAACGGAAAUUAAUCAACACUCCGGCAAAACAUAGGCCACUUAUCGAUGGUCAUUGCAUUUCAAUGGUUGCAAAUAUGAACAAAAACAUUUCAAAAUAUCUUAUAUAUAAUCCUAACACUAAAUAAACUAGUUUUAUUAACUACUUACUAAAUAAACUAGUUUUAUUAACUACUUACUAAAUAAACUAGUUCUAUUAAGCAGUUACUAUAAAUAAACUAGUUCUAUUAAGCACUUACUAAAUAAACUAGUUCUAUUAAGCACUUAAUAUAAAUAAACUAGUUAUAUUAAUCACUUACUAAAUAAACUAUUUCUAUUAAACACUUGCUAAAAAUUCUACUACCCUAGUUCUACCCUAAAUUUUCUUACUUCUAUUUUAUUCAAAACACCUAAAAUAGUCAAAAAAAUAUUCUAUUAAAAAAUCUACAUUCUACAAUGUCUACAUUCUAAAAUCUACAUUUAAAUUACCUACAAUUUGCAAGAAUAGAGACAAGGGAGGNNNNNNNNNNNNNNNNNNNNNNNNNNNNNNNNNNNNNNNNNNNNNNNNNNNNNNNNNNNNNNNNNNNNNNNNNNNNNNNNNNNNNNNNNNNNNNNNNNNNNNNNNNNNNNNNNNNNNNNNNNNNNNNNNNNNNNNNNNNNNNNNNNNNNNNNNNNNNNNNNNNNNNNNNNNNNGAGGGAGGGGCGGUUGGAGGAGGAGGAGGGAGGGGCGAUGGAAGGAGGGCUGCCUGCGGAGGAGGGAGGAGGGGGCGCCCGGAGGCGGAGGGAGGAGGGCACGGUGGGAGGAGGAGGAGGGAGGAGGGAGGAGGGCGCGGUGGGAGGAGGAUGGACGGAAGGAGGGAGUACCUCAGUGGCGGACGGACGACAGCAGCGGCGGCGACGGACUACGGGUAUCGGCGCGGGCGAGAGUGACUGAGAGGGAGAGUGAGUGAGUGAGAGAGGGUCGGUAGCGUGAGGGGAUAAGGUAGGGUUAGUAGUAGCACGGGUCAAAUAAAAGCGCUACAGCUAAGGAGAAUAGCAGUAGCGUUGGUCGUGGAUACGCGCUAUUGCUAAGUUGGGCUAGCCAUGUGCGCCCAAUUCAGACAUAGUAGCAGCAUUUUUUGCCAGUACGCGCUACUACUAAAGUUAUAGUAGUAGCGCGGUUUGUUCAUACGCGUUGAUACUAAGUAGCAGUAGCGCAUGAUUUUGUCCAGCGCUACUGCUAAGAUGUUGUGUUUAACAUUUUCCCUAGUAGUGGUGACUCCCUCGACAUCCCUCCUUCUAAGUUCCAUCUGCAUCAACUAAGCAUCGCUGUCCGUGUUGUUGGAGGAGGAGGACGAUAUGAUGUUUGGCCUUGAAAAUUCUGGCAGAAAACAACUCAAAACAAGAACAUGAGAUUUUGCCGUGGUACGGUGGUCAAAACCUUCGGGAGAUUAUAUAAUGAAUUUUUACCGACCAAAAUAAGUAUUGUGCAAGAAAACGGAGUCCGGAGGGCACACGAAGUGGCCACAAGGUAGGGGGGUGCGCCUAGGGGGGUAGGGGCGCCCGCCACCCUUGUGGUGGCCUCGUAUCUCUUUCGGACUACUUUUAACUUUCCUAAAUUUUUAAAUAUUCCAAAACGGAGAAAAAUUGCUAUUAGAAAAGUUUUGGAGUCGGUUUACUUACUGUACCACAUACCUAUUCCUUUUCGAAGUCUGACACGUUCUGGAAAGUGUCCCUUAUGUACUCCUCCGAUGUUAUCGUGUCAAUUAUAUUGGUCUCAACAUUUAUGGGAUUACCUGAGAUAUAAUGUUUGAUUCUUUGACCAUUUACCACCUUCGGAUUUGUGCCUUCGGAAUUGUUGAUUUUGAUGGCACCAGAACUAUAGACCUCCUCAAUAAUGUAAAGACCUUCCCAUUUAGAGAGAACUUUUCCUGCAAAAAAUCUUAAACGGGAGUUGUAUAGCAAAACAUGACCACCUACAUUAAACUCACGCAUUUGUAUCCUUUUUUCAUGCCAUCUUUUAACUUUUUAUUUAAAGAACAUGGCAUUCUCAUAGGCUUGUGUUCUCCACUCAUCAAGCGAGCUAAUGUCAAAUAACGUCUUCUCAUAGGCAAGUUUGAAAUCAUGGUUGAUCUCUUUAAUAGCCCAGUAUGUCUUAUGUGUUCAAGAGGUAAGUGACAAGUGUUUCCAUAAACCAUUUUAUUCGGAGACAAACCCAUAGGAUUUUUAUAAGCAGUUCUAGCCCAUAAUGCAUCAAGUUUCUUGGACCAAUUCUUUCUAGAUCUAUUAACAUUCUUUUGCAAAAUCAAUUUAAUCUCUCUGUUACUCAAUUCUACUUGACCACUAGACUGAGAAUGAUAUGGAGAUGCAAUUCUAUGGUUAACAUUGUACUUAGCAAGCGUUUUACAAAAAGCACCAUGAAUAAAAUGUGAACCAUCAUCUGUCAUUAAAUAUCUAGGGACUCCAAACCUCAGAAAAGAGUAACUUCUUUAAGCAUCUUAAUAGAAGUGUUAUGAUCAGCACUACUAGUUGGACUAGCUUCUACUCACCUAGUAACAUAAUCAAUAGCAACUAAAAUAUGUGUAUACCCAUUGGAGGAAGGAAAAGGUCCCAUAUAAUCAAAGCCCCAAACAUCAAAUGGUUCAAUAAUGAGUGCAUAAUUCAUAGGAAUUUCUUGACGUCUACCUAAGCAUCGGAGUGACACUUGUGUAUGAUCUGUUCCUGUUCAUACUCAGGUACACAAAGUCUAAUAACACCAUCUACUCCUUCUUUAUAAAGGUGUGGGUCAUCCCAAAAGUAAUGUCUUAAAUCAUAGAAAAACUUUUUCUUUUGCUGGUAUGCGAAACUAGGUGCUAUAAAUUUAGCAACAAUGUAAUUAGCAUAUAUAAUCGGCAUACGAUGGAGCAGUGCGUGAAGCAUUUAUGACAGCUAAUUAUUCAUCAGGAAAGUUAUCAUCAAUAGGCAGUGGGCCAUCAAGAAUAUUUUCUAACCUAGACAAAUUGUCUGCAACGAGGUUCUCAGCUCCCUUUCUAUCAAUAAUAUGCAAAUCAAAUUCUUGUAACAAGAGAACCCACCUAAUAAGUCUAGGUUUAGCAUCUUUCUUUUCCAUAAGAUAUUUAAUAGGAGCAUGAUCAGUGUGAACAAUUACUUUGGAAUCAACAAUAUAAGAUAUGAACUUAUCACAAGCAAUUACAAGUGCUAAAAAUUGUUUUUCAAUAGUAGCAUAGUUUCUCUGGGCACUAUCUAGAGUUUUACUAACAUAAUGGAUAACAUUUAAUUUCUUAUCAACUCUUUGUCCUAGAACAACACUAACAACAUAAUCACUAGCGUCACACAUAAUUUUAAAGGGUAAAUUCCAAUCAGGUGACUGAACAAUACGUGUAGAAAUCAAGGCCUUCUUAAGUAUCAAAUGCUUUUACACAAUCAUCAUCAAAAACAAAAGGAACAUCUUUUUGCAAGAGAUUAAUGAGAGGCCUAGAAAUUUUACAGAAGUCUUUAAUAAACCUCCUAUAGAAACCAGCAUGACCAAGGAAAUUUCUUAUACCUUUUAUAUCUUUAGGACACAACAUCUUUCCAAUAGCAUCUACUUUAGCUUUAUCAACUUGAAUACCUCUUUCAGAAAUUUUAUGCCCCAAGACAAUACCUUCAUUAACCAUAAAGUGGAACUUCUCCCAAUUCAAGACAAGAUUAGUUUCCUCACAUCCCUGCAAAACUCGAUCAAGGUUGCUUAAGAAAUCAUCAAAAGAAGUUCCGUAAACAGAGAAAUCAUCCAUGAAAACCUCAAUAGUCUUUUCACAAAAGUCAGAGCAUAUAAAAGUCAUACAUCUUUCAAAGAUAGCAGGUGCAUUGCAUAAACCAAAAGGCAUACGUCUAUAAGCAAAAGUGCCAAAAAGGCAAGUAAAAGUGGUCUUUUCCUGAUCAUUUUUUGACAUAGAUAUUUGAGAAAAACCAGAAUAACCAUCUAGGAAGCAAAAAUGUGUAUGUUUGGAUAGUCUUUCUAGCAUUUGAUCAAUAAAAGGUAGAGGGUAAUGAUCUUUUCUAGUAGCUUUAUUCAAUUUGCGGAAAUCAAUUACCCUUCUAUAACCUGCAAAUAAUUCUUUGUGGGAUCCAUUCAUUCUUAUCAUUAGGAACAACAGUAAUACCUCCCUUCUUAGGGACAUAAUGAACGGUACUUACCCACUGACUAUCAGCAAUAGGAUAAAUAUACAUGCCUCUAGAAGAUUUAGUAUUUCAUUUCUUACCACUUCUUUCAUUUUAGGAAUUAAUCGUCAUUGGUGAUCAACAACUGGUUUAGCAUCUUUUUCCAAUUUUAUUUUGUGCUGACAUAGAGUGGGACUAAUGCCCUUAAGAUCAUCAAGAGUAUAUCCAAUAGCGGCAUGGUGCUUCUUCAGAGUUUUGAAUAGUUUCUUUUCUUCAUGCUCUAAAAGGUUAGCACUAAUAAUAACAGGAUAUAUCUUAUUUCCAUCGAGAUAAGAAUAUUUAAGAGUAUCAGGUAAUUGUUUAAGCUCAGACACAGGAUCACCCUUGGGUGGAGGAGGAUCUCCGAGAAUUUCAACAGGCAAACUAUGUUACAAAAUAGGCCCUUGAUUAAAGAAUACUUCAUCUAUUUCCCUUCUUUCAUUCAUAAACAUAUCAUUUUCAUGGUCUAGCAAAUAUUGUUCUAAAGGAUCAUUAGGAGGCACGGAAAUAGAAGCAAGACCAGUAAUUUCAUCCUUACUAGGCAAUUCUUUAUCAUGAGGUUGUCUACGAAAUUUAGAAAAAUUAAAAUGAUGAGACAUAUCCCCUAAAUCAACAGUAACAAUAUCCUUUUCAUAGUCUAUCUUAGCAUUAACAAUAUUCAAGAAUGGGUCUACCAAAUAUAAUGGGACAAAAGUCAUCUUGCAGGGAAGCAAGAACAAGAAAAUCAGUAGGGUAUUUUAUUUUCGCACACAAUACUUCAACAUCUCUAACAAUCCCAACUGGUAAAUAGUGUCUCUAUUGGCAAGCUUAAUAGUAACAUCAAUAUCUUCUAUCUCAGCAGGUGCAAAUAUCAUUCAUAAUUUCUUCAUAUAAGGUAUAAGGUAUUGCACUCACACUAGAACCCACAUCACACAAGCCAUGAUAACAAUGAUCUCCUACUUUAACAGAAACUAUAGGCAUGCCAACAACAGGUCUAUGUUUAUCUUGAGUGUCAUGUUUAGCAAUCCUAGCAGCUUCAUCACAGAAAUAAAUAACAUGCCCAUCAAUAUUAUCGACCAAGAGAUCCUUAAUCAUAGCAAUAUUAUGUUCAACUUUAAUUUGUUCAGGGGGUGUAGGUGUUCUAGUAUAACUCUUACGAACCACAGUUUAAGAUUUAGCAUGAUCCUUUAUUCUAACAAGGAAAGGUGGUUUCUCAAUAUAAGCAGUAGGAACAAUUGGAUCAAAAUUAUAAGUAAUACUUUCUUCUUCAACCUUAAUAGGUUCUAGUACUUUAACUUCAAUGGGAGGAUGAUAUUUAAACCACUUCUCCCUAGGUAGAUCAACAUGAGUAGCAAAUGAUUCACAAAAAGAAGCUACUAUCUCAGAUUUGAAUUAUGUGUUCUUCAUCGUAAAAGAUCCAGUACAAGAAGUAUCGAGCAUGGAUCGAUCAUUAUGAGAAAGCCGAACAUAAAAAAUUUGGAUAAUAAUUUCUCUUGAGAGAUCAUGAUUUGGGCAUGACUAUAACAUUGAGUUAAGCCUCCCCCAAGGUUCAGCAAUACUUUCUCCUUCACGAGGCCGAAAAUUAUAUAUAUAAUUCCGAUCACGAUGAACCAGAUGCAUAGGAUAAAACUUCUGAUGAAAUUCCAAUUUCAAUCGGUUGUAGUUCCAUGAUCCAAUAUAAUCACAUAGCCUAUACUAUGUCAAUGCCUUUCCCUUCAAAGAUAAAGGGAAGACCUUCUUCUUGACAACAUCUUCGGGAAUACCUGCAAGCUUAAAUAAUCCACGAACUUCAUCCACAUAGAUUAGGUGCAUAUCAGGAUGUAAUGUUCCAUCUCCUCUGUAAGGAUUAGCUUGCAGUUUCUCUAUCAUACCCAAAGGAAUUUAAACAUAAAUAUUUUCGGUAGGUGCAGUAGGUUGAGGAGCAACUAUUUGCUCUUUCGGUUGAGGUGAAGAUACCCAGAACAAACCCCUCAAAGGAUUAUUUUCCAUAGUAACAAGUGACAGUAAAUUUCAGCACAAUAUAUAAAUGUUUCCUUACCAAAUUCCACUUACCAAAGGCGCUUCACUCCCCGGCAAUGGUGUCGUAAAAGAGUCUUGAUGACCCACAAGUAUAGGGGAUCUAUCGUAGUCCUUUCGCUAAGUAAGAGUGUCCAACCCAACAAGGAGCAGAAGAAAAUGACAAGCGGUUUUUAGCAAGGUAUUCUCUGCAAGCACUGCAAUUUUUGGUAAUAGAUAGUUGUGUGAUAAGAUAAUUCGUAAUGGGUAACAAGCAACAAAAGUAAACAAGGUGCAUCAAGGUGGGCCAAUCCUUUUUUUUAGCAAAGGAUAAGCCUGGACAAACUCUUAUAUAAAGCAAAGAGCUCCCGAGGACACAUGAGAAUUAUCGUCAAGCUAGUUUUCAUCAUGCUCAUAUGAUUCGCAUUAGUUACUUUGAUAAUUUCAUAUGUGGGUGGACCGGUGAUUGGGUGAUGCCCUUCCUUGGACAAGCCUCCCACUUAUUAUUAACCCCUCUCGCAAGCAUCCGCAACUACAAAAGAAGAAUUAAGGUAAAACUAACCAUAGCAUGAAACACAUGGAUCCAAAUCAGCCCCUUACGAAGCAACGCAUAAACUAGGGUUUAAGCUUCUGUCACUCUAGCAACCCAUCAUGGUGAAGUGUCAUGUAGUCGACGUUCACAUAACACCACUAGAGGAGAGACAACAUACAUCUCAUCAAACUAUCAAACGAAUACCAAAUUCACAUGGUUACUUAUAACAAGACUUUUCCCAUGUCCUCAGGAACAAACGUAACUACUCACAAAGCAUAUUCAUGUUAAUAAUCAGGGGAGUAUUAAUUAUCAUUAAGGAUAUGUACAUAUGAUCUUCCACCGGAUAAACCAAAUAGCAUCAACUACAAGGAGUAAUCAGCACUACUAGCAACCCAUAGGUACCAAUCUGAGGUUUUGAGACAAAGAUCAGAUACAAGAGAUGAACGAGGGUUUGAGAGGAGACGGUGCUGGUGAAGAUGUUGAUGGAUAUUGACUCCCUCUCAAUGAUAUGAUCGAUGGUGAUGACGAUGGCGAUGAUUUCCCCCUCCCGCAGGGAUGUUUCCCCGGUAGAACAACUCCGCUGGAUCCCUAGAUUGGUUUUGCCCAGGUUCCGCUUCGAGACGAUGGCGCUUCAUCCCGGAAGCUUCUCUCCUAUUUUUUUCAGGGUAAAAGACACCAUAUAUCAGAAGAUGGGCGUCGGGGGCCUGCCAGGGGGCCCACAAGGUAGGGGUGCGCACCCAGGGAGGUAGGGCGCGCCCUCCGCCCUUGUGGUUGGCUGGUGGCCCUCCUCUAGAGCUUUCUUCGCCCAAUAUUUUUUAUUUAUUCCAAAACUGAUCUCCGUGAAUUUUCAGGACUUUACUAGUCCGGAAUUCCAGCUAUCGAAAUUCUCCCUCUUCAUGUGAACCUUAUAAAAUAAGAUAGAAAAGACAUAAGUAUUGUGAUAUAACGUGUAAUAACAACCCCUAAUGCAAUAAAUAUUGAUAUAAAAGCAUGAUGGAAAAUGGACAUAUCAAUCAUCUUCUCCAAUAUCGCAUGUAGGACAUUGCCCACUGACUUUUAUAUGCCUGCUAGCCAAUGUCACCCGACAAGGUAGCGAGUCUAACAAAGUUGGUUAGAGGAAACAUUUAACCUUGGCCGGACAACUUAAGCUCCAGAUGGUCCCCCAUAUUGGUGAAAUCCGUGAAAGUCCGACUGUAUUUUCUCAUGAUAUCACAAAUAUUAGUUAUGAACUUAUGAUGCAGGCUCAAGUAUAAUAAAAAACACUCAUCGUGAACAAUGGAAAAACCAAAAAGAUAAUAUACAAAAUAUCUUACAAUGAAAUGUACCCAAGGGUUAGAUGACAACUCACUCUUCUGAGACGUUGUGUUUGGAGAUCAAUAAUACACUAUACCAACACAAAUGCAUGUUUGGUGAUUGUUUAAUGCACAUGAAAGGUACAAAGUUUGCAGAACUAUAUAUAUAACCAAUGCGUCCAUUUAUAGUAUUAGCCAACAGAAAAAGUCAUGCAUUUCCAUUUAUAUUCUUUAGUGAUAGGUACAUGACAAUCACAAUCUCAUGUGUAAACAAUAGGGCCAUACAAUGCAUCCUUGGUUGACUACGAUGGUAACGGAUAAUAGAUACUACAAUUACUGUGAAAGUUUUGUAUAUCCCAUAACGGAAGAUCCGGCACCUCAUAACAACCGAUCCAUGUCAUUCGUGGGCCAGAUAAUGUCACUGGUUGAUAUCGACGCCACUAUGGCAAUUAUUGCCGUCUCAACAAGCAAGUACCUUCUUCCAUGGUAUGAUUUCAUUGUUAGAAUCUGUAACUACAUAUGUGUGUGUGGCUAUAUCAUCUAGAACUACAUAUGUGUGUGGCUAUAUCAUCUAGAACUACAUAUGAUGAUCGUCGUCGAUAUCAUCUAGAACUACAUAUGAUGAUCGCCGUUUAUAUCACCUUGUACUGCUUGAGGAUGCAUGUUGACUAUGCAUGAAAUUGUUAUCUAGUACUCCCUUCGUUCCAAAUUACUCGUCAUGGUUUGAACUAAAACCACGACGAGUAAUUUGGAACGAAGUGAGUACUACCCAGUAAUGGUUUAUGAAUUUGAUAUCUACUAGCAGUACCUAGUAUCUAGUAUCUAAAAGGGAAACCGAAAGGGAAAGGGAUACGGGAAAAUGAUAAAAGAUAUAGCAGUAGCGAGGGACUGCGAAAUCGCUACAGCUAAGUAAUAGUAGCGCGUUCAUAAAAAGCGCUGCUGAUAUCAUCAACAGUAGUAGCGCGGGUAUGGACCGCGCUACUACUAAAAGUUAGUUGUAGCGCCUUAUUAGUAGCGUAGCCACCCGCGCUGCUGCUAGCCCAAAAACCCGCGCUACUACUAGGAUUUUCCCUAGUAGUGAUGUCGAACAGAUUUUUGGCUUUAGGAUCCGUGUGAGGCCCAAGCGUUGAGCCCAUGACGGAUGCCUAUAUAAAGUGGGGGUGCGGCACACUCAUGCAAUUGAUCGCUUCGGCGCUGUCACUAGGGUUUCCAUGUGUUGCGAAUAGCCACCUCCACUCGCUACUGACUGUGUGAUCAGACCUAGCAGUCCGUCGCACGGUGUUCCUCCUGCACGCGUGGAUGCCGCUAGAGGCGGUGCACCUGCGCCGCUCUAGCGAACUUGUACGUUGGAUCGGACGACCGGCUGUUUGAGGGAGAUCAGACGAGGAGAUGAUCCAUGUUGACGCGCUGCCCCAAAUCUUCUUCCGCUGCACGGCACUGCGCUCUGCGCGUCUACUGGUAACGAUCUGCGAUCCAUCUUCCGUAGCAUGUUCUUGGUUGUUCUGCGUAUAGAAUUUUUUUAAUUUGUAGCCGACGCACCCUACCGUAGAAUCCAACAAGGCAAACACGCCCGCUAGUAAGUUACUCGCUCGUCAUUAGUAAUCACUUACAAGUGGCAUCAUACUAGUGGUGUGCCGAUCGAACGCCGCUAGUAGGCACAUGCGCAAGCUGCUAAUAAGGGAUCCUGUACAUUGGUGGUGGGAGUCACGAUACUCGUGGGCGAAGCUCUUAACUAAGGUGCGGGAUGGUGGCCAUGUCCGUGCAGGGGGUGGGGUGAUUGCGGUACGGCGUUCAGUGGCGUUGAUGUGGGAGGUGUCUUCAUUACUAGUUGUACUAUGUUGCAGAGGCUGCUACCUCUUCCUCAAGGCACCGCCUGGGAGUACAUGGUUGAGGGCUCUCAUGACUUCAAGAAAUGUGCUCUCUAUCCUACCAGCCAUUUUCUUGGAGUUUUUUGUCUUUUUUCGAAAAGAAGAAUAACCUUGGCCUCUGCAUCAAACAAUGCACUCAUCCAUCUUUAUUAAAUUAUUCAACAGAGGCUGGCACAAUAAAUACAAGGAUUAAUCCAAAGCCACCUUUCUGACGAACUAUGUCGCUACACCUAUAAGCUUGAUGAUGAACCCCGACCGCACCAACGCACACCAUCUAAUCUGGUGGACUACGAGAGUCACCGCCUGCGAGCCGAGAGCACCAACCGUCCUAGCAAACCCAAUGCGCACACCACAUGCGCGUGGUCCAGGAUCAUGCGCUACCAUCUACCGAUAUCCCAUCUUCAAGAGUGAUCCUUGCACUAACCUUGCUAGGCCCACAUGACGUCGACGCUGCCACGACGCUAGACAACGCCACCAGCCUGCGUGUAGCCAUCAGCCCACCUCCAACACCGAUACUCCACCGCACCAUGCCACCGAGACCCACCGUUCUUGAUGCGGUAGAUGCAACACCGCUCCACCUCUUGUCCCCUCCAUUCGGUACCUACUCCAAACAGUGCCCCAGGAGAGAGAAUGACACAACUCCCUAUCAUCAUCUGAUCUGGAAGACCCAGAUCUAGGAUUUUUCCCGGAGCAGAUGCCUCCUAGAGGAAGAAGGGCACACCAUUUGCAGUUGCCAACGAACCCAAAGGGUGCCCACCCACACAACGAGCCAUUUUCUUGGAGUUGUUUUGUUGUUCUUCAGCAUCCUUGUACAAUGCCUUGUGUGCAUGUGUUGCGGUGUCAUGUCGUGUUGUGUUGUAUGUUUUGAAUUGCACGAUUUGUAUAUAAAGUGGAGCGGAAGUCUUUUUGAGAAAUAGUAAGAUCAAUUGCCUCAGUUGAAACUUGAAAGUGCAUUUUUUGACUUUGACAACGGAAGUCAGGGCCAAGGCCGACCUGAUGCGUAGGAAAAGGGACAAGCACACGUACAUCCUAUAUGUACCAAGCUUUUUUGUUCUUUUUGUUGCUUGUUGUUUGCUUCCGCUUAAUCCUACGAGAUAUCAAUUGGUUAAUAUAUUUGCUUGAAUAAUGCAUUAUCAUCUGAUUUCUUGUUUAGAUCGAUGUGCUCUCUAUUUUCAAAUAGUUUUGUUCUGGGCCUAUUUUGUUCAAUUGGAUAAUUUCAGCGCACAAAUCUAUCGAAUCGAAAUAAAUCGAUUUAUUUCCUCCGGUUUCCCUUUUUCUAGGAACAUAUUUGUUGUUAUUCGAUAGGACAUAUGUUUUGGGAAACCUAAUCAAAUUAAUAUACAAAAUGCUCACCUUUACUCAAUCGUGUCCCAGCCAUACCUUCUCAUUGGUUUCACNNNNNNNNNNNNNNNNNNNNNNNNNNNNNNNNNNNNNNNNNNNNNNNNNNNNNNNNNNNNNNNNNNNNNNNNNNNNNNNNNNNNNNNNNNNNNNNNNNNNNNNNNNNNNNNNNNNNNNNNNNNNNNNNNNNNNNNNNNNNNNNNNNNNNNCACCUCGGUCGCCAUGACAUCCAGCGAUGGUCAUGCCGAGGGCCAUCAUCGUACGCAGAUCACGCGCUUGUAGAAUAACCUGAGUCACCAUAAUUCGUCUGGGUCAACAUAUCAGCCAUUGUGUUGAUCCCCAAACUCGCGCACAACAUGCUACAUGAUUGGUUCACCGCGGUUGACGUCUUGGAGAAGAUUGCAUGCCACACACCUUUCUUCGGACUCUACGACUCCUUCACAUGCCCAAGAGAACGUGGAUAUGAUACUGAAUGUUUCUUAGCGACCCAAUAUUACUCAUGCAAUUAGCUGGACACAUCUGAGGUUUCACGGACUAGCAAACACAGAGCACAGAUGGAAUUUGAUGCCAUGAAAACUUGUUACUGCUUUUUUAUUUGGAAAACAGAGAGAAAGAACGGUUGUUGCACGACCGACCUAAACACACACCACGUUCCUAAUGACUCGUGCCAUCCCACGAAUCAGAUCAUGCGUGCAUGAUCUACAGCUCCACUAUUAUCGCGUGUGAUCCGAAGUGCCAUGCCAUCCCAUGACUCGGUUCACGACAUGGUAGAAACAGGAGCGACCCCUACCUGACACAUGGACUCGACGCAGACAUGCUUGCCGUCGAGACCGACUCUCAGUGCAUACCGUCUGCUCGCAGGCAGCUGUGUGGCACGUUAUUUGGAACAAACAAAUUGAAAGGAAAAAAAUUAAGGCAUGCACUAAAUUUACUUCAAUAGAUCAGCCCUUGAUCCACAAACCCACAUCGCGAAGUGGUCUUAGUGGAUCUCAUCACUCUCUGAGUCGAUCUCGUCGUUCUCCGAGUCGGAUAAGUGGUUGUCCACCUGCUCGUGCCUAGCCUGCAAUGCCGUCAACCACAAACACCACAUCCAGAUUCCGUUACAUUCCCUCAUCACCCAGGCAGAAAAAACUGAAAACCUUGGAAAAAUAGAAUGGAGACGAGUUCAUACCCUCCUCAUCUGGGCACGAUGGUUCUUGAACCAGAAUUUGAUAUGCUGGGGCUCCACGCGAAACUCGCGACCGAGAUGAGCGCGCUGGGCCUCAUCGGGGUUGGGGCACUCCAUGAAAACACUGCCGUUUUCAAAAAAAAUAAAAGUAAAAGAAAACCAUGAAUACCGUGCACAUGAAUCACCAUGAAAAUAUGACACGAGAAAUAAGCUGUAGGAAAUGGUGCUUGAUCAACCUCUCAAGGAUCUGAAAUUUUUUGUCACUUAGGUCCAUUGUUACCAAUUUCUCGUUUGCUCGCUCACACUCUCCCGGGCUGGCUAGAGGAAGAGAAAGUGGAGGCAGGAAGAUAUCUACAUACUGGAUGCUAUGUGACCUCUGGUUUGCUUCUAUUUAUACACGAGAGGGCGGUGUUUCUCCUCUGUCAGAAUGCUGGCACAAAGAAGGGCCUGUCUGUGUGACCUCUGGCUUGCUGCUGGCAGUCUCCUGGUCGGUCUCUCUUAAUGCCUCCUCCUUUUUGGCUUCUUCCACCCUAUAUUGUUGACCGUCCGUCCCUGUAUUGCUUGGGAGCGCCAGCAGCAGAAACGUUCGCUUUGACUUUUGACCACCUCGGGUCGCUCGCCGGCUGUCUUGAAUGUUUCUCUUUAUGCAUCCUCUCUCUUGGCUUCAUCCCUGGCUUGCUCGCGAGCGCCAGCAGUAGCGUGGUAGUACUAGUAACUAAUGCGAUGUAAUAAGCUUAUAUCAACAAAUUCAAAUCAUAGUACAGGUCAAUUGGGUUAUUGACCUGUGAUGUACUCCCUCGGUAAAGAAAUAUACUCCCUCCGUCUAGGUGUAUAAGUCAUCUUAGGUUGUAAAGAAAUAUACUCCCUCCUCAUUUAGCAGAAUUUGCAAAGCACUUCAAAUCAAUUGGGUUUAUGGACCUGCAUCAGUACGAGUCCUACUGGGUUUGGAUGCAACAAACAAAUGCAGAGUUACCUGAAAAUGGCCGGUGACCUGUCUUGAGUUCGUAAUUUCUCCCAUCCCACAAUUACCAUUGUUCCUCUUGUAGAAAGGGAGAUAAUUAGUCCUGAGUUACGUCCAUGUAUUAGUUGUUAACCAUUAUAUAAUAAAUUCUGCAAUAUUUUACUAGCAUGCAAUUGAUAGGCAUUAAUUUCCAGCCUCUUAAUUAUGUAUGGAUAUCAAAUUAAUCAAUAGUACAGGUGGGUCAUUAUCCUCUAAAUCAUAAUAUUCAAAUUCUAAGUAAGAAAAGCAGAACAAUGACCGACCUAUUAUUGCAAGCCCUAUCAUGUAUCAUUAGGCUAGAUAUGGCAAUAUGUUUGCUUCAGUGCACCAUUGCACUCCUUUUACAAUGGACGUUCUGUUACAAAAUCUUUUCAUCUACAUGGGAGAUUAUAUUUUGUCUUGUUUUCUUAUUAAACAUGAAACAACACAACGUCAAGAUCUUGAUCCACAAUUCUUGUUCCAUAUAAUUUGAUUCAAGUGAAAGUUCUGAAGUAACAUGCCUUUCUUAUUUCCUGUCGUUUGUUCCAAAAAUACGAUAUAUCCUUCAGCCAUAAAACUACAACAACUCAUAAGAACUACAACCAUUUCCCUCUUGCAAAACCUUUUUCAUACUUCCUCCACAACCAUUAUACGUACCAUGCAUAUCCAUGAUGAACCCCGACCACACCAAUGCACGCCAUAUAAUCCGGUGGCCGCCCGAAGUCGGCGCCUGCGAGCCGAGAACACCAACCAGCCUAACAGACCCACAACACAUACCACAUGCGCGCGCUCUAGGAUCCUGCGCUGCCAUCUACUGCCGUCCCAUCUUCAAGAGGGAUCCUUGCACUAACAUUCCCAGGCCCAACCGCCGUUGACACCAGACAAUGUCACUAGCCUCCAUGGAUCCAUCAACCCACCUCCAACGCCGAUACUCCACUGCACCAUGUCGCCGAGACCCACCAUUUUUGAUGUGGUAGAUGCAACACCGCUCCACCUCUUAGCCCCUCCAGUCAGUACCUAUCCAAAAGAGUGCGCUAGGAGAGAGAAUGACACAAGUCUUCGUCAUCAUCCGAUCUUGGAGAACCGGAUCUAGGGUUUCCCCUGGAGCAGAUGCCUCCUGGAGGAAGAAGAGCAUGCCAUCUGCAGUGGCCAUCGAACCCAAACGGUGCCCACCCGCGUAAUGAGCCAUUUUCUUAGAGUUGUGUUGUUGUUCUUCAGCAUCCUUGUACAAUGCCUUGUGUGCGUGUUUUGCGGUGUCGUGUCCUGUUGUGUUGUAUGUGCUGAAUUGUAUGAUUUCUAUAUAAAGUGGAGCGGAAGUCUUGUUGAUAAACAAUGAGAUCAGUUACCUCAGUUGAAACUUGAAAGUGCAUGUUUUGAUUUUGACAGCGGAAGUCAGGGCCAAGGCCGACCUCAUGCGCAGGAAAAGGGACAAGCACACAUGUACCCAAGCUUUUUUCUUCUUUGGUUGCCUAUUGUUUGCUUGCGCUUAAUCCUACCAGAUUAUCAAUUGAUUAAUAUAUUUGCUUGAAUAAUGCAUUAUCAUCUGAUUUCUUGCUUAGAUCCAUGUGUUCUCUAUUUUCAAACAGUUUUGGACUGGGCCUAUUUUUUCAAUUGGAUAAUUUUGGUGCACAAAUUUAUCGAAUCGAAAUAAACCAGUUUAUUUUCUUCUGUUUUCCUUUCUAUAGGAACCUAUGUGUUGGCGUUCGAUAGGACAUAUGUUUUUGAGAAACCUAACCAAGUUCAUAUACCAAAUGCUGACCUUUACUUAAUCAUGUCCCAAGCACCCGUUGUCGUUGGUUUCACGGCAANNNNNNNNNNNNNNNNNNNNNNNNNNNNNNNNNNNNNNNNNNNNNNNNNNNNNNNNNNNNNNNNNNNNNNNNNNNNNNNNNNNNNNNNNNNNNNNNNNNNNNNNNNNNNNNNNNNNNNNNNGCAUGGCAUCCAACGAUGGUCAUGCCGACGGCCAUCAUCAUAUAGAAUCACGCGCUUGUUGCAUAACCUAAGUCGUCGUAGUUCGUCCGGGUCAAUAUAUCGGCCAUUGUGUCGAUCCCCGAACUCGCGCACAACAUAUUACAUGAUUGGUUCACCGCGGUUGACCUCCUUGCCAUUGGAGAACGUUGCAUGCCGCGCAACUUUCUUCGGACUCUACGAUACCUUCACAUGCCCAAGUGCACUUGGAUAUGAUACUGAAUGUUUGUCAGCGACCCAAGAUAACUAAUGCAAUUAGCUGGAUACAUAUGAGGUUUUACUGAAAAAGGCUUUCGUCCCGCUUUAUAUAUAAAGCCACAUCAACAACUUUCGGUACAAACGCACGCCACCACAACACACGCACACACCCAAGGCAGGAUACAUAGGCGCUGAGCGCAACAAUAACACCCCUAACUACGAAGAGAUGAAGCCACAUAUGACGAACCGUGGACUCCAAGACGGCGCCUUCAGGAAGGAUAUGACACCGGAGCCCCGCCACCGCCCGACACGAGGGUCAGAGUUUCCCCUGGAGCAACACAAUGGGCAAUGAGAGCCUGGACGACGCCUUCAAAAAGGGAACGAGUUACGCCGCCGUCAGUCCGUCCGAGGAUAGAAUAGGUUUUCACCCCGGCCAACACUCACCACCACUGAACGCCACACCCAUGCAACCAUGCCGCCCACACGGCCAUGGCCACCGGGCAGCACCAAGCCACGGCCUCUGCCCAUGAGCACCGUGCUCCCACCACCAGGGCCGCCGCCCCCGCAUCCAAGACCAAGAGCCCACCUCACUCGAGACCCAUCGCUACCCCAACCAAAGGGACAAGCGGAAAGGCCCGGCCUUUCGCACCCCUGGGAGGCCCCCAGCGCCGAGACCCAAUCGGCCGGCCAAAAUUGGCCAUCAUCACCGCGUCCUACAGACCCGGGCACGAGGCGAGCUCGGUCCUGCUGCCGGGCGCAAGACGAGCUCGGUCCUGUGACACCGGGCGCGAGACGGGCAAUGGACCGCGGCUGGGAGCCGGCCAGCCCUUUGAUGCAAGUAGUGCCUGAACGACGAGGAGGUGAAGCGAAGGCCGAUACGGCCCGACCGCAGACGAGCCGACGCCGGAGAAGCCGACCGCCGCCGCAAGCAAAUCCGCCGAGCCACCAUGUAGCCGCCGCACCACCAAGAGGUCACCAUGCCGGACCUCCCACGCCGCCGCCCACGGCAAGAACAACAGCCACGCCCGGCCGCUGCCCCCAUGGGAGCAACUGCCACGCCUGGCCAGCCGCCCCAUUCUGCGUCGCCAGCCGCCCCCAUAUGAGGUUUUACUCUAGCAAACACAGAGCACACAUGGAAUUUGAUGCCAUUAAAACUUGCUACAGCUUUUUUAUUUGGAAUACAGAGAGAAAGUACGGUCGUUGCACGAUCGACCUAAACACACACCACGUUCCUAAUGACUCGUGCCAUCCCACGAAUCAGAUCAUGCGUGCAUGAUCUACAGCUCCCCUAUUAUCGUGUUUGAUCCGAUGUGCCAUGCCAUCCCAUGACUCGGUUCAUGACGUGGUAGAAACAGGAGCGACCCCAACCUGACACAUGGACUCGAUGCAUGGACUCGACGCAGACAUGUUUGCCGUCGAGACCGACUCUCAGUGCGUACCAUCUGCUCGGAGGCGGCUCUAUGGCACGUUAUUCGGAACAAACAGAUUGAAGGAAAAAGAACCUAGGGCAUGCACUAAGUUUACUUCAAUGGAUCAGCCCUCCAUCCACAAACCCACAUGGCGAAUUUGUCUUGGUGGAUCUCGUCGUUCUCUGAGUCAAUCUCGUCGUUCUCUGAGUCGAUCUCGUGGUUCUCCGAGUCGGAUAAAUGGUUGUCAACCUGCUCAUCCGUGGCCUGCCAUGGCUUCAAGCACAAACACUACAUCGAGAUCCAUUACAUUCCAUCAUGACCAGGUGGAAAAAACUGAAAUUUGGAAAAAUUGAAAGGAGAUCGAGUUCAUACCCUCCUCAUCUGGGCACGGCGGUUCUUGAACCAGAAUUUGAUCUGCUGUGGCUGCAUGCCAAGUUCGCGGCCGAGAUGGGCGCGCUGGGUCUCAUCAGGGUAGAGGAACACCUUGAAAGUCCUGCAGUUUUCAAAAAAGGAAAAAGAAAACCUUGAAUACCCUGUACAUGGAUCACCAUGAAAAUAUGACAGGAGAAAUAAGCCAUAGGAAAUGGUGCUUCAUCAACCUCUCGAGUAUCUGAAUCUGGUUGUCACUUAGAUCCAUUGUUACCAAUUUCUUGCUUGCUCGCUCACUCUCCCAGGCUACCUAGAGGAAGAGGAAGUGGAGGCAGGAAGAUAUCUUCGUACUGGAUGAUGCGUGCCUCUGGUUUGCUCCUAUUUAUACAUGAGAGGCUGGUGUUUCUCCUCUGUCACAGUGCUGGCGCAAAGAAGCGCCCGUCUGUGUGACCUCUGGCUUGUUGCUGGCAGUCUCCUGGCCGGUCUCUCUUAAUGCCUCCUCCUAUUUGGCUUCUUCCAGCAUAAAUUGCUGACCGUCCAUCCCUGUAUUGCUCUGGAGCGCCAGCAGCAGAAACAUUCGCUUUGACUUUUGACCACCUCGGCUGUCUUGAAGGUUCCUCUUUCCAACGCUGGUCCACAGCCUAGACAUUGUGGACGAUUUUGAGACGAUGCAGCGCAUCAAGCCAUCAAUGCAAUUAGAAAAACUGAGCAUCACCGUCCACUCCUCCCGUCGUCCAAAGUUCGGCCGGCGACUGUCGUCCCUACAGCAAUUUCGUUCUCUUUAUGCCUCCUCUCUCUUGGCUUCGUCCCUGUCUUGCUCGGGAGUGCCAGCAGUAGCCUGGUAGUACUAUUAACUAAUGCGAUGUAAGAAUCUGUAAAGCACUUCAAAUCACCCAUGAUAAGAAAACUUAGCAAAACAUUUCAAAAAAUUCUGAAUUUUUUGGAUGUGAUUAUGACCAAAUAAUUUAGGUGCUUGCAAAAGUUGAUGGUGAAAUGACAUCCGGGGAACUCUGUACAAAAAAACAAAUUUGUGCUGAAAGCAUGUGAAUAGUAACAUGGUGCAGAGCAUCAUUUGUAUUCCGUUUUGUAUGAAGAUCAUUUGAUGUUUUUUGGUGACCAUACUUUGCAAGCUCCUAAAAUAUUUGCUCAUAAUCAUGUCGAGGAAAUUUCAGAAUUUUUAAUUUCUUAAUAUUUUUUUAAUUUACUGUUUACUCCAUGGGUGCACCAAAGUGGGUGGAGCCACUACUUUCCCAAGAGUUUAUGGACCUGCUUCUGUACGAGUCGUACUGGGUUUGGAUGCAACAAACAAAUGUAGCUACACAAAUGUAUGGCUUGUUAACCAUUAUAAUCAAUUCUAAAAUAUUUUAGCAUGCAAUUAGUAGGCAUUAAUUUUCAGCGAUCAGGUGGUGUCGGCGAUCCUUUGUCCUUCCCUUACUGAAGGCGCCACCUUGGAGUACUUGGUUCGUCGUGUGUGGCUUCAUCUCUUCGAGGUGACUUGUUCAUGGUUGAGGGUUGUGGUGACUUCAAGCGGCGCUCUCUAUCCUACCAGCCGUUUGCUUGGAGUUGUGUUGUUGUUCUUUAACAUCUUUGUAUCAUGCCUUGUGUGCACGUGUUACGGUGUCAUGUCGUAUUGUAUCUGCUGGAUUGUACUCUGUCAUGUCGUAUUGUAUCUGCAAGGUCAUCAUCGUAAUAUCUUUUACAAGAGUAUCGACAAUCUCUACGGGUGGAUCUUCCAUCCACCCUGCACGCAGCUUACUUCUCGCUAGUUUGGCUAAAUCAUGGGCAGCACAAUUAGUCUCUUUAGGAGCAUGCUCAAAAAUAAUAUGCGGGAAAUCACAUGCAGGGUGAUAUAUAUAAUCAAAAACGGCCGCUGAUAGACCGUAAUAGUGAUACGUCUCCAACGUAUCUAUAAUCUUUGAUGUAUUCAUGUCAUGUUUAUAAUAUUUUUACAUGCUUUUGGUAUGAUUUGGUUAGAACUAACCCGGACCGACGUUCUUUUCAGUAGAACCACCAUGGUGUUGUUUUUGUGCAGAAAUAAAAGUUCUCGGAAUGUGCUGAAAAUCAACGGAGAUUUUUUUUUGGAAAAUAUAAAAAAUACUGAAACAAAAAGUUAUCGAAGAGGAGUCCCGUGGGGCCCACGAGGGCGGAGGGCGCGCCCACCCCCUAGGGCACGCCCCUGUGCCUCAUGGACUCCCCGUGGGUCCCCCUAACUUGUUCGCGACGCCAAACCCUCCUAUAAAUACCCGAACUUCCAGAAAGAAACCUAGAUCGGGAGUUCCGCCACCGCAAGCCUCUGUAGCCACGAAAAACCUCUUUGAGCCCGUUUCAGCACCCUGCCGGAGGGGGAAUCCAUCACCGGUGGCCAUCUUCAUCAUCCCAGCGCUCUCCAUGACGCGGAGGGAGUAGUUCUCCCUCGGGGCUGAGGGUAUGUACCAGUAGCUAUGUGUUUGAUCUCUCUCUCUCUCUCUCUCUCUCUCUCUCUCUCUCUCUCUCGUGUUCUUGAUUUGGCACGAUCUUGAUGUACCGCGAGCUUUGCUAUUAUAGUUGGAUCUUAUGAUGUUUCUCCCCCUCUGCUCUUUUGUAAUGGAUUGAGUUUUCCCUUUGAAGUUAUCUUAUUGGACUGAGUCUUUAAGGAUUUGAGAACAGUUGAUGUAUGUCUUGCAUGUGCUUAUUUGUGGUGACAAUGGGAUAUCACGUGAUCUACUAGAUGUAUGUUUUGGUGGUCAACUUGCGGGUUCGGUGACCUUUGAACUUAUGCAUAGGGGUUGGCACAUGUUUUCGUCUUGACUCUCCGAUAGAGACUUUGGGGCACUCUUUGAAGUUCUUUGUGUUGGUUGAAUAGAUGAAUCUGAGAUUGUGUGAUGCAUAUCAUAUAAUCAUACCUGCGGAUACUUGAGGUGACAUUGGAGUAUCUAGGUGACAUUAGGGUUUCGGUUGAUUUGUGUCUUAAGGUGUUAUUUUACUACAAAUUCUAGGGCUGUUUGUGACACUUGUAGGAAUAACCCAAUGGAUUGAUCGAAAAGAAUAACUUUGAGGUGGUUUCGUACCCUACAAUAAUCUCUUCAUUUGUUCUCUGCUAUUAGUGACUUUGGAGUGACUCUUUGUUGCAUGUUGAGGGAUAGUUAUAUGAUCCAAUUAUCUUAUUAUUGUUGAGAGAACUUGCACUAGUGAAAGGAUGAACCCUAUGCCUUGUUUCCUACCAUUGCAAUACCGUUUACGCUCACGUUUACCACUUGCUACCUUGCUGUUUUUUAUAUUUUCAGAUUACAAAAACCUAUAUCUACCAUCCAUAUUGCACUUGUAUCACCAUCUCUUCGCCGAACUAGUGCACCUAUACAAUUUACCAUUGUAUUGGGUGUGUUGGGGACACAAGAGACUCUUUGCUAUUUGGUUGCAAGGUUGUUUGAGAGAGACCAUCUUCAUCGUACGCCUCCCACGGACUCAUAAACCUUAGGUCAUCCACUUGAGGGAAAUUUGCUACUGUCCUACAAACCUCUGCACUUGGAGGCCCAACAACGUCUACAAGAAGAAGAUUGUGUAGUAGACAUCAAAUAGCGACAUCAAUUAUUCAUUGUCUCUAUCACCUCUAUGCAAUUACACCAAUCGAUUUACCCGUUUCAUGCCGCGACGAAUCUACCAUUCGAGUCUCUGAUGACGGUGCCAUAUGAGCCAUAAGUCUGGGUCAAAAGCCCAAUCUAUGUUUAGCUUCACAUAGUUGCUCUUUGGUAUUUCCCAGCCAUGAUGCUUGAUCUUCGCCUUUGCAUCACUCGUCGUAGUACAGUUAGCAACCAAAGCUAUGAUUGCCAUUGCUAUGAACAUAGGUUCUUGGACCAUUUCAAUACGCACUAACUCCCCCCCCACCGACCAUAAAUAUCAGGAACCAAUAGCAAUUGAUUCUAUUGAAUUUUCUAGACCGAGGACCACACAUUCUUUAGCUAGUUGCAACAAUAAAUAUUCGAGCACAACUUCUCCCACAUGAUCCACAGUGCAUGCUUUAUCAAUAGAAAAGUCCACCGCAAGCCUCUGUAGCCACGAAAAACCUCUUUGAGCCCGUUUUGGCACCCUGCCGGAGGGGGAAUCCAUCACCGGUGGCCAUCUUCAUCAUCCCAGAGCUCUCCAUGACGCGGAGGGAGUAGUUCUCCCUCGGGGCUGAGGGUAUGUACCAGUAGCUAUGUGUUUGAGCUCUCUCUCUCUCUCUCUCUCUCUCUCUCUCUCGUGUUCUUGAUUUCGCACGAUCUUGAUGUACCGCGAGCUUUGCUAUUAUAGUUGGAUCUUAUGAUGUUUCUCCCCCUCUACUCUCUUGUAAUGGAUUGAGUUUUCCCUUUGAAGUUAUCUUAUUGGACUGAGUCUUUAAGGAUUUGAGAACAGUUGAUGUAUGUCUUGCAUGUGCUUAUUUGUGGUGACAAUGGGAUAUCACGUGAUCUACUAGAUGUAUGUUUUGGUGGUCAACUUGCGGGUUCAGUGACCUUUGAACUUAUGCAUAGGGGUUGGCACAUGUUUUCGUCUUGACUCUCCGAUAGAGACUUUGGGGCACUCUUUGAAGUUCUUUGUGUUGGUUGAAUAGAUGAAUCUGAGAUUGUGUGAUGCAUAUCAUAUAAUCAUACCUGCGGAUACUUGAGGUGACAUUGGAGUAUCUAGGUGACAUUAGGGUUUCGGUUGAUUUGUGUCUUAAGGUGUUAUUUUACUACAAAUUCUAGGGCUGUUUGUGACACUUAUAGGAAUAACCCAAUGGAUUGAUCGAAAAGAAUAACUUUGAGGUGGUUUCGUACCCUACAAUAAUCUCUUCAUUUGUUCUCUGCUAUUAGUGACUUUGGAGUGACUCUUUGUUGCAUGUUGAGGGAUAGUUAUAUGAUCCAAUUAUCUUAUUAUUGUUGAGAGAACUUGCACUAGUGAAAGGAUGAACCCUAUGCCUUGUUUCCUACCAUUGCAAUACCGUUUACGCUCACGUUUACCACUUGCUACCUUGCUGUUUUUUAUAUUUUCAGAUUACAAAAACCUAUAUCUACCAUCCAUAUUGCACUUGUAUCACCAUCUCUUCGCCGAACUAGUGCACCUAUACAAUUUACCAUUGUAUUGGGUGUGUUAGGGACAUAAGAGACUCUUUGCAAUUUGGUUGCAAGGUUGUUUGAGAGAGACCAUCUUCAUCGUACGCCUCCCACGGACUGAUAAACCUUAGGUCAUCCACUUGAGGGAAAUUUGCUACUGUCCUACAAACCUCUGCACUUGGAGGCCCAACAAUGUCUAGAAGAAGAAGAUUGUGUAGUAGACAUCAAAUAGCGACAUCAAUUAUUCAUUGUCUCAAUCACCUCUAUGCAAUUACACCCAACUAUAGUUGCCAAAUUGAGACGAAACCAUAAGGCUAGUGCAUCGGCCCUAAGUGCAUCUCCACACCAAUCGAUUUACCCGUUUCAUGCCGCGAUGAAUCUACCAUUCGAGUCUCUGAUGACGGUGCCAUAUGAGCCAUAAGUCUGGGUCAAAAGCCCAAUCUAUGUUUAGCUUCACAUAGUUGCUCUUUGGUCUUUCCCAGCCAUGAUGCUUGAUCGUCGCCUUUGCAUCACUCGCCAUAGUAUAGUUAGCAACCAAAGCUAUGAUUGCCAUUGCUAUGAACAUAGGUUCUUGGACCAUUUCAAUACGCACUAACUCCCCCCCCCCCACCCACCAUAAAUAUCAGGAACCAAUNNNNNNNNNNNNNNNNNNNNNNNNNNNNNNNNNNNNNNNNNNNNNNNNNNNNNNNNNNNNNNNNNNNNNNNNNNNNNNNNNNNNNNNNNNNNNNNNNNNNNNNNNNNNNNNNNNNNNNNNNNNNNNNNNNNNNNNNNNNNNNNNNNNNNNNNNNNNNNNNNNNNNNNNNNCCAAUAGCAAUUGAUUCUAUUGAAUUUUCUAGACCGAGGACCACACAUUCUUUAGCUAGUUGCAACAAUAAAUAUUCGAGCACAACUUCUCCCACAUGAUCCAAAGUGCAUGCUUUAUCAAUAGAAAAGUCCAAACCUAGUAAUCAUCAUACCUCUUUAGCUCUUGCACAAGUGAAUAACAAGUGCUUGGUAUCAUUGAUGACCCACAAGUAUAGGGGAUCUAUCGUAGUCCUUUCGAUAAGUAAGAGUGUCGAACCCAACGAGGAGCAGAAGGAAAUGACAAGCGGUUUUCAGCAAGGUAUUCUCUGUAAGCACUGAAAUUAUAGGUAAGAGAUAGUUGUGUGCCAAGAUAAUUUGUUACGGGUAACAAGAAACAAAAUUACACAAGGUGCAGAAAGGUGGGCCAAUCCUUUUUGUAGCAAAGGACAAGCCUGGACAAACUCUUAUAUAAAGCAAAGUGCUCCUGAGGACACAUGGGAAUUAUUGUCAAGCUAGUUUUCAUCAUGCUCAUAUGAUUCACGUUCGUUACUUUGAUAAUUUGAUAUGUGAGUGAACCGGUGCUUGGGUGAUGCCCUUCCUUGGACAAGCCUCCCACUUAUAAUUAACCCCUCUCGCAAGCAUCCACAACUAUGGAAGAAGAAUUAAGGUAAACCUAACCAUAGCAUGAAACAUAUGGAUCCAAAUCAGCCCCUUAGGAAGCAACACAUAAACUAGGGUUUAAUCUUAUGUCGCUCUAGCAACCCAUCAUCUACUUCUUACUUCCCAAUACCUCCCCUAGUCCAAAAUCAUGGUGAAGUGUCGUGUAGUCGACAUUCACAUAACAACACUAGAGGAGAGACAACAUACAUCUUCAUCAAAAUAUCGAACGAAUACCAAAUUCACAUGACUACUUAUAACAAGACUUCUCCCAUGUCCUCAGGAAAAAACGUAACUACUCACAAAGCAUAUUCAUGUUCAUAAUCAUAGGGGUAUUAAUAUGCAUUAAGGAUCUGAACAUAUGAUCUUCCACCAAAUAAACCAAUUAGCAUCAACUACAAGGAGUAAUCAACACUACUAGAAACCCAUAGGUACCAAUCUGAGGUUUGGGUACAAAGAUUGGAUACAAGAGAUGAACUAGGGUUUCAGAGGAGAUGGUGUUGAUGAAGAUGUUGAUGGAGAUUGACCCCCUCCCGAUGAGAGGAUCGUUGGUGAUGACGAUGGUGAUGAUUUCCCCCUCCCGGAGCAAAGUUUCCCCAGCAGAACAGCUCCGCCGGAGCCCUAGAUUGGUUCCGCCAAGGUUCAUAAUUAGAGGAGUAUUAAUUAUCAUUAAGGAUCUGAACAUAUGAUCUUCCACCGGAUAAACCAACUAGCAUCAACUACAAGGAGUAAUCAACACUACUAGCAACCCACAUGUACCAAUCUAAGGUUUUGAGAGACAGAGGUGUCGAUAAAAUAAAAUACGGGCAUGAGGGCAUCAUGAUCAUCUUUAUAACAACAACAUAUAUUGUCAUAUGAUUUCUUAUGCUAAUUAACAAUUCAUUCACAAGGUAAAGUAUGAAUCGGAAACUUCAUUGAAAACUAACAAACUAUGAUCUCAGUCAUUGAAGCAAUUGCAAUCUAUCAUAACAUUGUAAAGAGUCAAUAUAAGAGCUUUUCAACAAGUCCACACACUCAACUAUCAUUUAGUCUUUCACAAUUGCUAACAUCACGUGAUACUUAUGGGUACAAAGUUUCAAUCGGACACAGAAAAAGAUAGGGGCUUAUAGUUUCGCCUCCCAACCUUUUAGCUCAACGGUAAUGUCAAUAAUAAUACUAUAUGAAAACCUACAUCCGAGUGUAUAUAUAUAUAUAUAUUUAUAUUUAUAUAUAUAUAUAUAUAUAUAUAUAUAUAUAUAUAUAUAUACCGGAUCUCUCCAACACAUAGUGCUUGCCAAAGGAUAAAGUGUAAGAAGGAAAAGUGAAGAUCACCAAGACUCGUGUAUGAGGGUAGAAGGUAAAAAUAAAAGAUACGCCCUUCGUAGAGGGAAUCAGAGGUUGUCAUGCGCUUUUAUGGUUGGAUGCAGAAAAUCUUAAUUCAAAAGAAUGUCACUUUAUAUUGCCGCUUGUGAUAAGGAUCUUUAUUAUGCAGUCCGUCAAUUUUAUUUCUUCCACAUCACAAGUUCGUAUAAAGCGUAUUUUCUUCACACUAACAGAUCAUAAAAAUUUAUAGAGCAAUUUUUAUUGCUUGCACCGAUGACAACUUACUUGAAGGAUCUUACUCAAUCCAUAGGUAGGUAUGACGGACUCUCAUGGCAAAACUGGGUUUAGGGACUCCCACUAUGUUGUCUUCCUUGUCCAACAUUAACCUUUUAGCAUGUCAUAUUUUAAUGAGUGCCCACAAUCACAAAAGAUAUCCAAGAUAGGGUAUUUAUAUGUAAAACCUCUCUUUCUUUAUUACUUCCAAUUAAUUGCAGCAAUGACCAAAACUAUGUUUGUCAACUCUCAACAACUUUUAUUCAUCAUACUCUUUAUAUGUGGAGUCAUUACUCUCCAUAAGAUCAACAUAUGAUCUUUUUAUUUCUUUUUAUUCUUUUCUUAAUUCCCUCAAGAUCAUAGCAAGAUAGAAAAGCCCUCAACUCAAAACUACUCUGUAUUAUAUAUAACUCACGGACUCGAUUACAUAGAUAGAGAUCAAAACAAAACUCAAAGAUAGAUCAUACUAAAACUUUAUUCUACUAGAUCAAGAUAUAACCAAAAGGAUCGAACAAAGAAAAUCGGUAAAGAUAGAGGUGCGAUGGUGAUACGAUACCGGGGAACCUCCCCCAAGCUUGGCAGUUGCCAAGGGGAGUGCCCAUACCCAUGUAUUUAUGUCUCUUUCUUCAAAGGUGGCGAUGAUGGAGUUAUUGAUGAUGCUGUUAGCUUCAUUAAUGCACCCUUCAGAACUUGCAGUUACUGGAGCAAACGUUGGAGCAUAUUUGCAUUCUUUUGGAUUUCCUCCAUAUGGUGCUUAUUUUCAGGCCCCCAAGAGCUCUUACUUGCAUUGCUUUCACUUGGACGGGAUAUGUCCCAAUUAUAGGGUAUAUGUGUACGGGGAGUGUCCUCGACUUCAUAAUUAUGAACCAAAUUAUGAAAGUUGUUCCGAUGUAACCUGUGUAAGGGCCUCCUAUGGGGAAGCCCUUCUCGAACCUCUUGGUCUUCAUGGUUGCUUCUAGUCCCCAUUGCUUGAUGGGGAUUGGGAAUAGUGGAGAUGCCAACCAGAGUGCCUUUCUGCAUAGCCGGAGGGUGGUCCUCAAGCGAAUCUCCUUCAUCCUCCUCCAUCAUGCACUACUAGGGAAAAGUCUAGCAGUACCGCUGGUUUUUGGCCUAUCAGUAGUGCGGGUAAGCGCGCUACUGAUACGGCGCUACAGCUAAAGCAUAGCAGUAGAGCCUACUGGCACUCGCUACUGCUAUAUCUACUUAGUAGUAGCGCUUUCCAAAUCAAUCGCUACUGCUAAUUACUAGUAGCCCUUUAAAAAACAAUCGCUACUACUAUUAUUUCGUAUUCUAUUUCUUUUGAAUUUUAGGUCAUAUUCACCUUCAUACAAUUUUUCAUACAGUAGCAAUUUAGAGAUUGUUUUUACAUUAUAAUGAGUUAUUAAAUCACUAGCUGAAAUAACCUUGGUUUAGUUUCAAGUGCAUGGAUCCAAAGUAACCAAUGGUCACUUUGGAUCCAUCCAUUUGAAACUAAUCCGCGGUUCUUUCACCCAAUGACAUAAUAACUUAUCAUCAUCAUCAUCAUCAUCAUAAUAUCAUUAACAACUUAUCAUCAUAAUAUAUCAUUGUCAUAUAACUCCUCAUAAUCAUCAUUUUCGUCCAUGAGACAUCAUAUAACAACUUCAUCACUAGUUAUAAUAACAACUCCUCCUCCUCAUCAUCAUAAUACUCAUAAUCACUACUCCUACUCAGCAACACCAUCAAGUCUAAGACAUUGUAGUCAUAUAUAAUCAACACUAACUUAUUGUUCUUAAUACUUAGGACCUACUCCUCUCUCCUAGCUAAAAUACCAUAAAACAGAUAAACUGGUCCUUCAUAAUAAUGGAGAAUGGACAUAAACCUAUCUCCAACUUGUGGCUUGCGCACAUUCAUUUUGUCUCCAAUUAUUUGCGUGUGCGCAUUCAUCACUUUGCUCCAUUCUUUGAUUUCGAGUCUUCCAUCAUUUGAAGAAAUCGAGUAUGCAGUAUGGUAAGCCUUUGAAGGAGUUGGUCGUAAGCUAACCAUAUGCAUAUCACCUUCGGUAAAUAGCAUGUCAGGCAGAACCUGCUUCGGGAGCCUCUGUUCAAAAACGUAAUAUAAACAUAUAUAGUUAGCAAUGUAGUUUACUUAAGAAUAAUGUAUGUAAUGAAGUUACCAUCAUUAACAAAAUCUUACCAAGUUUUUGGCAAUGAAGUUACCAUCAAGCAAUUUAUGGACUAGUGGCACAUAUCUAGUAUAAUUUGGGUUGAUAGAGUGACUGGUUUUGAAGGCCUCAACAUCUUCUAUGAAUGAGACAAGAUAACCUUUCUCGUCACAAUUAAGCUUAGAGUCAUAGCUGUAAUAUGUGUUGUCUACUACCUUCCGAGUAUUUUUUGAAAAUAAGAAAUAAAUUGACAAUUAUAAAUAAAUAAGUUUAGUAAGGACGAACACCAAAUAUUUUUAAAUUAUCAACAUAAAUUACUGAACUUAACAAAUUAGUUUGACAAACUCACAUCUAGGCAAAACUGGAGGCAUAUCCACGUCCACCCAGAUGUCGAUAUUAUCAUCAUCAUCAUCAUCUUCGGGACAAAUAUCAAAUCUUAUUCGCAUUCCCUCCUCAAGUCCAUAUGCCUUGUAGAGAGCUUCCCAAUUAGAGCAACCGAAAUGGGAGCAAUAGACCGCAUUGUACAACUUAACCAGAAACUCAUAACCAUGUUUAGUUCUUAAGUGAGCCCUCCUCAUCUCCACAUUCUCAAAGUCAUCUAAACCAAAACCAAGCUUCUCCAAUACAUAUGGUCUAGCAUGGCUCUGGAUGUACUAAUCGAAUUAAAAAAAAUAUCCAAAAUUACACGUUGAACAAAACAAGCACAAGUGAUGAUAUUAAUUACGAUGAAAUGCUUGCCGUUGUGUACCGUACAAACAUCAAGGGUCUCUUCCAGCUUCACGGUGAAAAACCUAUCAUUUUGCAGGUGAGGAAACCUGUCACACACACCAUGGUCAUCGUAGCAGUACCCACACUCUGGGAUCCCAUCGUCAUUAGACAUCUCCUGUGUUCAAAAUUCAAAGAUUAUAACUCGACGGCCAAACCCAAAAAAUCCGGCAUGACCUUUGCUAAAAAAGGACAUAUCGAGCGCCUAAAAUUGGCUGGAACGGAAAUUAAUCAACACUCCGGCAAAACAUAGGCCGCUUACUAAUGGUCAUUGCAUUUCAAUGGUUGACAAUAUGAACAAAAACAUUUGAAAAUAUCUUAUAUAUAAUCCUAACACUAAAUAAACUAGUUUUAUUAACUACUUACUAAAUAAACUAGUUCUAUUAAGCACUUACUAUAAAUAAACUAGUUCUAUUAAGCACUUACUAAAUAAACUAGUUCUAUUAAGCACUUAAUAUAAAUAAACUAGUUAUAUUAAUCACUUACUAAAUAAACUAUUUCUAUUAAACACUUGCUAAAAAUUCUACUACCCUAGUUCUACCCUAAAUUUUCUUACUUCUAUUUUAUUCAAAACACCUAAAAUAGUCAAAAAAUAUUCUUUUAAAAAACCUACAGAGACAAGGGAGNNNNNNNNNNNNNNNNNNNNNNNNNNNNNNNNNNNNNNNNNNNNNNNNNNNNNNNNNNNNNNNNNNNNNNNNNNNNNNNNNNNNNNNNNNNNNNNNNNNNNNNNNNNNNNNNNNNNNNNNNNNNNNNNNNNNNNNNNNNNNNNNNNNNNNNNNNNNNNNNNNNNNNNNNNNNNNNNNNNNNNNNNNNNNNNNNNNNNNNNNNNNNNNNNNNNNNNNNNNNNNNNNNNNNNNNNNNNNNNNNNNNNNNNNNNNNNNNNNNNNNNNNNNNNNNNNNNNNNNNNNNNNNNNNNNNNNNNNNNNNNNNNNNNNNNNNNNNNNNNNNNNNNNNNNNNNNNNNNNNNNNNNNNNNNNNNNNNNNNNNNNNNNNNNNNNNNNNNNNNNNNNNNNNNNNNNNNNNNNNNNNNNNNNNNNNNNNNNNNNNNNNNNNNNNNNNNNNNNNNNNNNNNNNNNNNNNNNNNGGAGGAGGGAGGGGCGAUGGAAGGAGGGCUUCCUGCGGAGGAGGGAGGAGGGGGCGGCCGGAGGCAGAGGGAGGAGGGCACGGUGGGAGGAGGAGGAGGGAGGAGGGAGGAGGGCGCGGUGGGAGGAGGAGGGACAGAAGGAGGGAGUACCUCGGUGGCGGACGGACGACAGCAGCGGCGGCGACGGACUACGGGUAUCGGUGCGGGCGAGAGUGACUGAGAGGGAGAGUGAGUGAGUGAGAGAGGGUCGGUAGCGUGAGGGGAUAAGGUAGGGUUAGUAGUAGCACUCAUCAAAUAAAAGCGCUACAGCUAAGGAGAAUAGCAGUAGCGCUGGUCGUGGAUACGCGCUAUUGCUAAGUUGGGCUAGCCGUGUGCGCCCAAUUCAGACAUAGCAGCAGCACUUUUUGCCAGUAUGCGCUAAUACUAGAGUUAUAGCAGUAGCGCGGUUUGUUCAUACGCGCUGCUACUAAGUAGCAGUAGCGCAUGAUUUUGUCCAGCGCUACUGCUAAGAUGUUGUGUUUAACGUUUUCCCUAGUAGUGGUGACUCCCUCGGCAUCCCUCCUUCUAAGUUCCAUCUGCAUCAACUAAGCAUCGCUGUCCGUGUUGUUGGAGGAGGAGGACGAUAUGAUGUAUAGCCUUGAAAAUUCUGGCAGAAAACAACUCAAAACAAGAACAUGAGAUUUUGCCGUGGUACGGUGGUCAAAAUCUUCGGGAGAUUAUAUAAUGAAUUUUUACCGACCAAAAUAAGUAUUGUGCAAUAAAACGGAGUCCGGAGGGCACACGAAGUGGCCACAAGGUAGGAGGGGGUGCGCCCAGGGGGGUAGGGGCGCCCUCCACCCUUGUGGUGGCCUCGUAUCUCUUUCGGACUACUUUUAAUUUUCCUAAAUUUUUAAAUAUUCGAAAACGGUGAAAAAUUGCUAUUAGAAAAGUUUUGGAGUCGGUUUACUUACUGUACCACAUACCUAUUCCUUUUCGGAGUCCGACACGUUCUGGAAAGUGUCCCUUAUGUACUCCUCCGGUGUUACAGUGUCAAUUAUAUUGGUCUCAACAUUUAUGGGAUUACCUGAGAUAUAACGUUUGAUUCUUUGACCAUUUACCACCUUCGGAUUUGUGCCUUCGGAAUUGUUGAUUUUGAUGGCACCAGAACUAUAGACCUCCUCGAUAAUGUAAAGACCUUCCCAUUUAGAGAGAACUUUUCCUGCAAAAAAUCUUAAACGAGAGUUGUAUAGAAAAACAUGACCACCUACAUUAAACUCACGCAUUUGUAUCCUUUUUUCAUGCCAUCUUUUAAAUUUUUCGUUAAAGAACAUGGCAUUCUCAUAGGCUUGGGUUCUCCAUUCAUCAAGCGAGCUAAUGUCAAAUAACGUCUUCUCACCGGCAAGUUUGAAAUCAUGGUUGAGCUCUUUAAUAGCCCAAUAUGUCUUAUGUGUUCAAGAGGUAAGUGACAAGUGUUUCUAUAAACCAUUUUAUUCGGAGACAAACCCAUAGGAUUUUUAUAAGCAGUUCUAGCCCAUAAUGCAUCAAGUUUCUUGGACCAAUUCUUUCUAGAUCUAUUAACAUUCUUUUGCAAAAUCAAUUUAAUCUCUCUGUUACUCAAUUCUACUUGACCACUAGACUGAGAAUGAUAUGGAGAUGCAAUUCUAUGGUUAACAUUGUACUUAGCAAGCGUUUUACAAAAAAGCACCAUGAAUAAAAUGUGAACCACCAUCUGUCAUUAAAUAUCUAGGGACUCCAAACCUCAGAAAAGAGUAACUUCUUUAAGCAUCUUAAUAGAAGUGUUAUGAUCAGCACUACUAGUUGGACUAGCUUCUACUCACCUAGUAACAUAAUCAAUAGCAAAUAAAAUAUGUGUAUACCCAUUGGAGGAAGGAAAAGGUCCCAUAUAAUCAAAGCCCCAAACAUCAAAUGGUUCAAUAAUGAGUGCAUAAUUCAUAGGAAUUUCUUGACGUCUACUAAUAUUGCCAAUUCUCUGGCAUUCAUCACAAGACAAGACAAACUUACGAGCGUCCUUGAAGUGAGUAGGCCAAUAAAAACCGGAUUGCAAUACCAUAUGUGCAGUUCUAUCUCCAGCGUGGUGUCCGCCGUAAGCAUCGGAGUGACACUUGUGUAUGAUCUGUUCCUGUUCAUACUCAGGUACACAAAGUCUAAUAACACCAUCUACUCCUUCUUUAUAAAGGUGUGGGUCAUCCCAAAAGUAAUGUCUUAAAUCAUAGAAAAACUUUUUCUUUUGUUGGUAUGAGAAACUAGGUGGUAUAAAUUUAGCAACAAUGUAAUUAGCAUAUAUAAUCGGCAUACGAUGGAGCAGCACGAGAAGCAUUUAUGACAGCUAAUUGUUCAUCAGGAAAGUUAUCAUCAAUAGGCAGUGGGCCAUCAAGAAUAUUUUCUAACCUAGACAAGUGUCUGCAACGAGGUUCUCAGCUCCCUUUCUAUCAAUAAUAUGCAAAUCAAAUUCUUUUAACAAGAGAACCCACCUAAUAAGUCUAGGUUUAGCAUCUUUCUUUUCCAUAAGAUAGUUAAUAGGAGCAUGAUCAGUGUGAACAAUUACUUUGGAAUCAACAAUAUAAGAUCUGAACUUAUCACAAGCAAUUACAAGUGCUAAAAAUUGUUUUUCAGUAGUAGCAUAGUUUCUCUGGGCACUAUCUAGAGUUUUACUAACAUAAUGGAUAACAUUUAAUUUCUUAUCAACUCUUUGUCCUAGAACAACACCAACAGCAUAAUCACUAGCGUCACACAUAAUUUCAAAGGGUAAAUUCCAAUCAGGUGACUGAACAAUAGGUGUAGAAAUCAAGGCCUUCUUAAGUAUCAAAUGCUUUUACACAAUCAUCAUCAAAAACAAAAGGAACAUCUUUUUGCAAGAGAUUAAUGAGAGGCCUAGAAAUUUUACAGAAGUCUUUAAUAAACCUCCUAUAGAAACCAACAUGACCAAGGAAAUUUCCUAUACCUUUGAUAUCUUUAGGACACAACAUAUUUCCAAUAGCAUCUACUUUAGCUUUAUCAACUUCAAUACCUCUUUCAGAAAUUUUAUGCCCCAAGACAAUACCUUCAUUAACCAUAAAGUGGAACUUCUCCCAAUUCAAGACAAGAUUAGUUUCUUCACAUCCCUGCAAAACUCGAUCAAGGUUGCUUAAGAAAUCAUCAAAAGAAGUUCCGUAAACAGAGAACUCAUCCAUGAAAACCUCAGUAGUAUUUUCACAAAAGUCAGAGCAUAUAAGAGUCAUACAUCUUUCAAAGACAACAGGUGCAUUGCAUAAACCAAAAGGCAUACAUCUAUAAGCAAAAGUGCCAAAAAGGCAAGUAAAAGUGGUCUUUUCCUGAUCAUUUUUGACACAGAUAAUUGAGAAAAACCAGAAUAACCAUCUAGGAAGCAAAAAUGUGUAUGUUUGGAUAGUCUUUCUAGCGUUUGAUCAAUAAAAGGUAGAGGGUAAUGAUCUUUUCUAGUAGCUUUAUUCAAUUUGCGGAAAUCAAUUACCCUUCUAUAACCUGUAAUAAUUCUUUGUGGGAUCCAUUCAUUCUUAUCAUUAGGAACAACAGUAAUACCUCCCUUCUUAGGGACAUAAUGAACGGGACUUACCCACUGACUAUCAGCAAUAGGAUAAAUAUACCUGCCUCUAGAAGAUUUAGUAUUUCAUUUCUUACCACUUCUUUCAUUUUAGGAAUUAAUCGUCAUUGGUGAUCAACCACUGGUUUAGCAUCUUUUUCCAAUUUUAUUUUGUGCUGACAUAGAGUGGGACUAAUGCCCUUAAGAUCAUCAAGAGUAUAUCCAAUAGCGGCAUGGUGCUUCUUCAGAGUUUUCAAUAAUUUCUUUUCUUCAUGCUCUAAAAGGUUAGCACUAAUAAUAACAGGAUAUAUCUUAUUUCCAUUGAGAUAAGAAUAUUUAAGAGUAUCAGGUAAUUGUUUAAGCUCAAACACAGGAUCACCCUUGGGUGGAGGAGGAUCUCCGAGAAUUUCAACAAGCAAACUGUGUUACAAAAUAGGCCCUUGAUUAAAGAAUACUUCAUUUAUUUUCCUUCUUUCAUUCAUAAACAUAUUAUUUUCAUGGUCUAGCAAAUAUUGUUCUAAAGGAUCAUUAGGAGGCACGAAAAUAGAAGCAAGACCAGUAAGUUCAUCCUUACUAGGAAAUUCUUUAUCAUGAGGUUGUCUACGAAAUUUAGAAAAAUUAAAAUGAUGAGACAUAUCCCCUAAAUCAAUAGUAACAAUAUCCUUUUCAUAGUCUAUCUUAGCAUUAACAGUAUUCAAGAAUGGGUCUACCAAAUAUAAUGGGACAAAACUCAUCUUGCAGGGAAGCAAGAACAAGAAAAUCAGUAGGGUAUUUUAUUUUCGCACACAAUACUUCAAAAUCUCUAACAAUACCAACUGGUAAAUAGUGUCUCUAUUGGCAAGCUUAAUAGUAACAUCAAUAUCUUCUAUCUCAGCAGGUGCAAAUAUCAUUCAUAAUUUCUUCAUAUAAGGUAUAAGGUAUUGCACUCACACUAGCACCCACAUCACACAAGCCAUGAUAACAAUGAUCUCCUACUUUAACAGAAACUAUAGGCAUGCCAACAACAGGUCUAUGUUUAUCUUGAGUGUCAUGUUCAGCAAUCCUAGCAGCUUCAUCACCGAAAUAAAUAACAUGCCCAUCAAUAUUAUCGACCAAGAGAUCCUUAAUCAUAGCAAUAUUGUGUUCAACUUUAAUUUGUUCAGGGGUUGUAAUUGUUCUAGUAUAACUCUUACGAACCACAGUUUAAGAUUUAGCAUGAUCCUUUAUUCUAACAAGGAAAUGUGGUUUCUCAAUAUAAGCAGUAGGAACAAUUGGAUCAAAAUUAUAAGUAAUAGUUUCUUCUUCAACCUUAAUAGGUUCUACUACUUUAACUUCAAUGGGAGGAUGAUAUUUAAACCACUUCUCACUAGGUAGAUUAACAUGAGUAGCAAAUGAUUCACAAAAAGAAGCUACUAUCUUAGAUUUGAAUUAUGUAGUCUUCAUCAUAAAAGAUCCAGUACAAGAAGUAUCGAGAAUGGAUCGAUCAUUAUGAGAAAGCCGAACAUAAAAAAUUUGGAUAAUAAUUUCUCUUGAGAGCUCAUGAUUGGGGCAUGAAUAUAACAUUGAGUUAAGCCUCCCCCAAGCUUCAGCAAUACUUUCUCCUUCACGGGGCCGAAAAUUAUAUAUAUAAUUCCGAUCACGAUGAACCAGAUGCAUAGGAUAAAACUUCUGAUGAAAUUCCAAUUUCAAUCGGUUGUAGUUCCAUGAUCCAAUAUAAUCACAUAGCCUAUACUAUGUCAAUGCCUUUCCCUUCAAAGAUAAAGGGAAGACCUUCUUCUUGACAACAUCUUCGGGAAUACCUGCAAGCUUAAAUAAUCCACAAACUUCAUCCACAUAGAUUAGGUGCAUAUCAGGAUGUAAUGUUCCAUCUCCUCUGUAAGGAUUAGCUUGCAGUUUCUCUAUCAUACCCAAAGGAAUUUAAACAUAAAUAUUUUCAGUAGGUGCAGUAGGUUGAGGAGCAACUCUUUUCUCUUCCGGUUGAGGUGAAGAUACCCAGAACAAGCCCCUCAAAGGAUUAUUUUCCAUAGUAACAAGUGACAGUAAAUUUCAGCACAAUAUAUAAAUAUUUCCUUACAAAAUUCCACUUACCAAAGGCGCUUCACUCCCCGGCAACGGUGUCGUAAAAGAGUCUUGAUGACCCACAAGUAUAGGGGAUCUAUCGUAGUCCUUUCGCUAAGUAAGAGUGUCCAACCCAACAAGGAGCAGAAGGAAAUGACAAGCGGUUUUUAGCAAGAUAUUCUCUGCAAGCACUGAAAUUAUCGGUAAUAGAUAGUUGUGUGAUAAGAUAAUUCGUAAUGGGUAACAAGCAACAAAAGUAAACAAGGUGCAUCAAGGUGGGCCAAUCCUUUUUUUAGCAAAGGACAAGCCUGGACAAACUCUUAUAUAAAGCAAAGAGCUCCCGAGGACACAUGAGAAUUAUCGUCAAGCUAGUUUUCAUCAUGCUCAUAUGAUUCACAUUAGUUACUUUGAUAAUUUCAUAUGUGGGUGGACCGGUGAUUGGGUGAUGCCCUUCCUUGGACAAGCCUCCCACUUAUUAUUAACCCCUCUCGCAAGCAUCCGCAACUACAAAAGAAGAAUUAAGGUAAAACUAACCAUAGCAUGAAACAUAUGGAUCCAAAUCAGCCCCUUACGAAGCAACGCAUAAACUAGGGUUUAAGCUUCUGUCACUCUAGCAACCCAUCAUGGUGAAGUGUCAUGUAGUCGACAUUCACAUAACACCACUAUAGGAGAGACAACAUACAUCUCAUCAAACUAUCAAACGAAUACCAAAUUCACAUGGUAACUUAUAACAAGACUUUUCCCAUGUCCUCAGGAACAAAUGUAACUACUCACAAAGCAUAUUCAUGUUAAUAAUUAGAGGAGUAUUAAUUAUCAUUAAGGAUAUGUACAUAUGAUCUUCCAUCGGAUAAACCAAAUAGCAUCAACUACAAGGAGUAAUCAGCACUACUAGCAACCCAUAGGUACCAAUCUGAGGUUUUGAGACAAAGAUCAGAUACAAGAGAUGAACGAGGGUUUGAGAGGAGACGGUGCUGGUGAAGAUGUUGAUGGAUAUUGACCCCCUCUCAAUGAUAUGAUCGAUGGUGAUGAUGAUGGCGAUGAUUUCCCCCUCCCACAGGGAUGCUUCCCCGGUAGAACAACUCCGCUGGAGCCCUAGAUUGGUUUUGCCCAGGUUCCGCCUUGAGACGAUGGCGCUUCAUCCCGAAAGCUUCUCUCCUAUUUUUUUCAGGGCAAAAGACACCAUAUAUCAGAAGAUGGGCGUCGGGGGCCUGCCAGGGAGCCCACAAGGUAGGGGUGCGCACCCAGGGAGGUAGGGUGCGCCCUCCCCCCUUGUGGUUGGCUGGUGGCCCCCCUCUAGUGCUUUCUUCGCCCAAUAUAUUUUAUUUAUUCCAAAACUGAUCUCCGUGAAUUUUCAGGACUUUACUAGUCCGGAAUUCCAGCUAUCGAAAUUCUCCCUCUUCAUGUGAACCUUAUAAAAUAAGAUAGAAAAGACAUAAGUAUUGUGAUAUAACCUGUAAUAACAACCCCUAAUGCAAUAAAUAUUGAUAUAAAAGCAUGAUGGAAAAUGGACAUAUCAAUCAUCUUCUCCAAUAUCGCAUGUAGGACAUUGCCCACUGACUUUUAUAUGCCUGCUAGCCAAUGUCACCCGACAAGGUAGCGAGUCUAACAAAGUUCGUUAGAGGAAACUUUUAACCUUGGCCGGACAACUUAAGCUCUAGAUGGUCCCCCAUAUUGGUGAAAUCCGUGAAAGUCCGACUGUAUUUUCUCAUGAUAUCACAAAUAUUAGUUAUGAACUUAUGAUGCAGGCUCAAGUAUAAUAAAAAACACUCAUUGUGAACAAUGGAAAAACCAAAAAGGUAAUAUAAAAAAUAUCUUACAAUGAAAUGUACCCAAGGGUUAGAUGACAACUCACUCUUUUGAGACGUUGUGUUUGGAGAUCAAUAAUACACUAUACCAACACAAAUGCAUGUUUGGUGAUUGUUUAAUGCACAUGAAAGGUACAAAGUUUGUAGAACUAUAUAUAUAACCAAUGCGUCCAUUUAUAGUAUUAGCCAACAGAAAAAGUCAUGCAUUUCCAUUUAUAUUCUUUAGUGAUAGGUACAUGACAAUCACAAUCUCAUGUGUAAACAAUAGGGCCAUACAAUGCAUCCUUGGUUGACUACGAUGGUAACGGAUAAUAGAUACUACAAUUACUACGAAAGUUUUGUAUAUCCCAUAACGGAAGAUACGGCACCUCAUAACAACCGAUCCAUGUCAUUUGUGGGCCAGAUAAUGUCACUGGUUGAUAUCGACGCCACUAUGGCAAUUAUUGCCGUCUCAACAUGCAAGUACCUUCUUCCAUGGUAUGAUUUCAUUGUUAGAAUAUGUAACCUCGAUGGGGCAUACAUUUUUGUAGUUGAACACCCCAUGCACUCUCCAAGUCAUGGUUAACAACCAACUAAAGGAGUUAUGUGGCAAACAUACCCGACUAGGGUGGAAGUGUGUAUGGAAAGCGCUCGUUCACAAAACCCAAUACGGCCCCUAUCGACUGGUAUCCGAUAACAGCCUCGCUUUGUCUCCUUCCGCUCUCCUCGCAUCCAAUAACGGCCCCUAUCAACUGGUAUCUAAUACAUUUGGGGACACACUCCACGCAGCUAGCGAACACCCUCACUGUUGGCGCUCUAUACGGAUGUCCCUACACGGGACCAUCUACUUUGGUUCCUUGAAGGGCCAAAGGUCCUCAGACUAUAGUGGUGGCUAAUGAUAAGGGCACUGACAAAGAUGAGCCACCGGCUCACUAUGAGCAUGGGGAGGCGGAUGUUAAUAUGUAUUUUUCACAAUGAAUAUGAUGAUGCAUGAUUUUUGCAGUUAACCAUAAUGUUGCCAAGAGUCUGUUUAAUAUGACACCAGCGGACGACACUCAGAAUGAUCAAUGUCCUUCCAAAGCGCAUGUCAUGACUCUGCUCACAUUGAAUGGGUCAAUUCAAGACACUCUCGCAACCCCCAGUUAUUGUUGUACCUAGAAAUGGGAGGAAGAAGAGACGAAAAAAGUCUGAUUACACAAGGCACGGGCGCUGCUGGUAGGUAGAAACUGGUUCGAAAGACGAUUAUUGAUUUCGGUUUACUGUACCUUUUGUGUAGUUUCUGAUUAAGUUUCAAAGAUGCAUGGUGAAAAUGACCUUCUAGGUUUACUUCAUUAACCUUAGUAGUCAUUCGGCGUAUUGAAACAUGGUAAUUCUAGAAUGACAACAACAUGUGUGCUUCAGCUCAUAAAUGCUACCAUUGUAGCAAAAGAUUAACUAAAAAUGCAACCACGACCGGUUAUAGUAGCCCCAAGGCUGGAAAAUUCUACCUUGACAACUAAAUGAGAAAUUUGACUCAUAAAUGCUGCCAUGGUAGAGAAAUGAGCCCAUUUAACCAUAAUUGACCCCAUGGUAGCAAAUAUGAGGCCAAAGGCUCAAAAGUUCUUCCGUGACAACUAAAAGAGCCAUUUAGUCUAGACUCGUUGCGAUGGCAACUAAUUAAUGAGCCAUUUCGCGAGCUAACUAAGCCAUCUGGCUCAGAUUAGCUGCCAUGGCAGCAAAAAAUGAAUGUAAAACUACUAUCACAACAUAUAUGAGCCCUGAUAACCCGCAAGUAUAUGGGAUAGUUGUAGCCUCUUUCGAUAAGUAAGAGUGUCGAACCCAACGAGGAGCUAAAGGUAGAACAAAUACUCUCUCAAGUCCUAUCGGCCACUGACUCGACUCUACGCACGCUUGACAUUCGCUUUACCUAGAACAAGUAUGAAACUAGAAGUACUUUGUAGGUGUGAUGAGAUAUGUUUGCAAGAUAAUAAAGAACAUGUAAACAAAAAUUAGGGGCUGUUUAGAUAAAGAAGCAAUAAAGUAAAUAUUAGUAGAGAGCUUUUUGUUACGAGAAAGUUAUUUGUCGAAGGCAAUAGAUAACUAGACCGGAAAUCAUUAUUGCAAUUCUAUUUGAGGGAGAGGCAUAAGCUAACAUAUCAUCCCUUACUUGGAAUUCUAUGCACUUAUGAUUGGAACUCUAGCAAGCAUCUACUAAAGAUUCAUUAAGGUAAAAUCCAACCAUAGCAUUAAAGCAUCAAGUCCCCUUUUAUCCCAUACGCAAACAACCUACUUACUCGGGUUUGUGUUUCCGUCACUCACGCAACCCACCAUAAGCAAAUCAUAAACAUAUUGCAAACCCUACAGCGGGAAUCCCUCACGCUUGCGCGACACAGAGGGCACAAUAGGACAGCACCAAUAAUAAAACAUGCAACUCAAACCAAUCACGAUCAUCAAUUAACCCACAGGACAAAACGGAUCUACUCAAACAUCAUAAGAUAGCCAUACAUCAUUGGGGAAUAAUAUAUAGCAUUGAGCACCAUGUUUAAGUAGAUAUUACAGCGGGUAAGAGAGAGGUUACACCGCUGCAUAGAGGGAGGAAGAGUUGGUGGAGAUGUUGGUGAAGAUGGCGGCGGUGUUGGUGAAGAGCGCGGUGAUGAUCAUGGCCCCCGGCAGCGCUCCGGCGCCACCGGAAGCAAGGGGGAGAGAUCCCCCCUUCUUCUUCUUCUUCCUUGACCUUCUCCCUAGAUGGCAGAAGGGUUUCCCCUCUGGUCCUUGGCUGCCAUGGCUUGGGAGGGGCGAGAGCCCCUCCGAGAUUGGAUCUAUCUCUCUGUUUCUGCAUUCUCUAUUUCUUCCCCUUCACUGUUUUCUUUAUAUCUGGAGAUCCGUAACUCCGAUUGGGUUGAAUCAUUCGCCCAGAUAUUUCUCAUAAAAUUAGCUUUCUUGCGCCAAAAGAAGAGCAUCAACCGCCUUACGGAUGGCCCACGAGAGCCCAGGGUGCGCCUAGGGGUAGGGGGCGCGCCCCCUGUCUCGUGGCCACCUCGGACAUUGUUUCGCGUUGAUUCUUCCUCCGGAAAAUCCCAAAUAUUCCAAAAUAAUUGCCUGUCCAUUUUUACCCCGUUUGGAUUCCGUUUGAUAUUGGUUUUCUGUGAAACAUAAAACAUGCAACAAACAGGAACUGGCAUUGGGCACUGGAUCAAUAUGUUAGUCCCAAAAAAUAGUAUAAAAAGUUGCCAAAAGUAUAUAAAAUUUGAAUAAUAUUGGCAUGGAACAAUCAAAAAUUAUAGAUACGACAGAGACGUAUCAGCAUCCCCAAGCUUAAUUCCUGCUCGUCCUCGAGUAGGUAAAUGAUAAAAAAAAGAAUAAUUUUUUAUGUGGAAUGCUACCUAGCAUAAUCUUAAUCAUAUGUCUAAUCAUGGCAUGAAUAUUAAUACAUGAGUUAUUCAAAGCAAUAGUCUAUCAUUUGACAUAAAAAACAAUAAUACUUCGAGCGUACCAAUAAAGCAAUCGUGUCUUUUCAAAACAAGAUGGCCAAAGAAAGUUAUCCCUACAAAAUCAUAUAGUCUGGCUGCUGUUCUAUCUUCAUCACACAAAGUAUUUAAUCAUGCACAACCCCGAUGACAAGCCAAGCAUUUGUUUCAUACUUUAAUAAUCUCAAACUUUUUCAACUUUCACGCAAUACAUGAGCGUGAGCCAUGGACAUAGCACUAUAGGUGGAAUAGAAUAUGAUGGUGGGGGUUACGUGGAGAAGACAAAAAGGGAGAAGGUCUCACAUCGACUAGGCGUAUCAACGGGCUAUGGAGAUGCCCAUCAAUAGAUAUCAAUGUGAGUGAGUAGGGAUUGCCAUGCAACGGAUGCACUAGAGCUAUAACUGUAUGAAAGCUCAAACUGAAACUAAGUGGGCGUGCAUCCAACUUGCUUGCUCGUGAAGACCUCGGGCAUUUGAGGAAGCCCAUCAUUGGAAUAUACAAGCCAAGUUCUGUAAUGAACAUUCCCACUAGUAUAUGAAAGUGAAAGCAUAGAAGACUCUCUCUAUGAAGAACAUGGUGCUACUCUGAAGCACAAGUGUGGUAAAAGGAUAGUAACAUUGUCCCUUCUCUCUUUUUCUCUCAUUUUUUUUCUUUUUUUUUUCUUUUUUCUUUUUUUUUCUUUAUUAUUUUUUUUCUUUUUGGUGGGCUUCUUUGGCCUCUUUUUUUAUUUGGGCUUCUUUGGCCUCUUUUAUUUUCCAUAAAGUCCGGAGGCUCAUCCGAUGGGGGAAUCAUAGUCUCCAUCACCCUUCCUCACUGGGGCAUGCUCUAAUGAUGAUGAUCAUCACACUUUUAUUUACUUACAACUCAAUAACUAGAACAAAGAUAUGACUCUAUAUGAAUGCUUCCGGCGGUGUACCGGGAUGUGCAAUGAUCUAGCAUAGCAAUGACAUCAAAAAAACGGACAUGCCAUGAAAACAUCAUGCUAGCUAUCUUACGAUCAUGCAAAGCAAUAUGACAAUGAAUGCUCAAGUCAUGUAUAUGAUGAUAAUGGAAGUUGCAUGGCAAUAUAUCUCAGAAUGGCUAUGGAAAAGCCAUGGUAGAUAGGUAUGGUGGCUGUUUUGAGGAAGAUAUAAGGAGGCUUAUGUGUGAUAGAGCAUAUCAUAUCACGGGGUUUGGAUGCACCGGCGAAGUUUGCACCAACUCUCGAGGUGAGAAAGGGCAAUGCACGGUACCGUAGAGGCUAGCAAUGAUGGAAGGGUGAGAGUGCGUAUAAUCCAUGGACUCAACAUUAGUCAUAAAGAACUCAUAUACUUAUUGCAAAAAUCUACAAGCCAUUGAAAACAAAGUACUACGCGCAUGCUCCUAGGGGGAUAGAUUGGUAGGAAAAUACCAUCGCUCGUCCCCGACCGCCACUCAUAAGGAAGACAAUCAAUAAAUAAAAUUGUGCUCCAACUUCAUCACAAAGGGGUUCAGCAUACGUGCAUGCUACGGGAAUCACAAACCUCAACACAAAUGUCUCUACAGUAAACAGUCACCCACUAGCAUAACUCUAAUAUCACCACCUUUAUAUCACAAAACUAUUGCAAGGAAUCAAACAUAUCAUAUUCAGCGAUCUACAAGUUUAUGUAGGAUUUUAUGACUAACCAUGUGAAUGACCAAUUCCCGUCAUCUCUCUAAACAGAUAUAAGUGAAGCAAGAGAUUUUAAUUCUUUCUACAAAAGACAUGCCCACGCUCUAACAAAUAUAAGUGAAGCAAAAGAGAAUUCUACAAGUGGCGGUUGUCUAUAUGAAGAGAAACAGGCAAUCCAAACUUCAAACGAUAUAAGUGAAGCACAUGAAGCAUUCUAUAAAGCCAUACUCAAAAUAUUUAAAUGAAGUGCAAUGAGCAUUCUAUAAAUCAACCAAGGACUAUCUCAUACCAGCAUGGCGCAUAAAAAAAGUGAAAACUAAAUGCAAAAGACGCUCCAAGACUUGCACAUAAUGCAUGAACGAAACAAAUUCGAAAACAUACCGAUACUUGUUGAAGAAAGAGGGGAUGCCUUCCGGGGCAUCCCCAAGCUUAGACGCUUGAGUCUCCUUGAAUAUUUACUUGGGGUGCCUGGGGCAUCCCCAAGCUUGAGCUCUUGCAUCUCUUCCUUUUCCUCGUAUCAGGACAUCCUCGAUUAGACACUACAUCCACACAAAACUUCAACAGAAAACUCGAUAAGAUCCGUUAGUAUAAUAAAGCAAAUCACCACUCUAAGUACAGUUGCAAACCAAUUCAUAUCUUGUUUUUGCAUUGUGUCUACUGUAACGUAACUUUUUCAUGGCUUAAUCCACUAAUAUAAAUUGAUAGAUUCAUCAAAACGAGCAAACUAUGCAUCAAAAACAGAAUCUGUCAAAAACAGAACAGUCUGUAGCAAUCUGAACAUACACCAUACUUCUGAUACCCCAAAAAUUCUACCAAAAUGAGGAAAAAUAAACAAGUUGUACAGAAAGACAGUUCAAAAAGAAUUAGAAUCAAUUGACGUUCCAGUUAAAAACUUAAAAUCGUGCACUACAGCCAAAGUUUCUGUCCUGCACCGUACAAACCAACAAGCAUUGUAAACAUCCUAAAGGCAAACAUUGGCACAUUAUUUUUAUAAUACAAUGGAAUUUUACAAGGGGAUAAUUAUUUUUGAUGAAAAGUUUCUGUAAUCAAGAUUCACAAAGUUUCCGUGAGCAUGAACAAAGUUCAAGGACCUCUCCCACUUCAACAAUGCUUAUCUCUCUCACUUUCACUUUCCUUUUUGAAAAGUUUUUAGGUUCCCCUCUUUAUUUUUUUGUUUUUAAACUAUAUAAAAGCACUCAACAGAAAUAAAUGACUCUCUAAAACUUCCGGGUUGUCUCCCUGGCAGCGCUUUCUUUAAAGCCAUUAAGCUAGGCAUUUAGUGCUCAAGUAAUGGAUCCACCCGGAUCCCAAGGUAUAUAAAAGCCAAUUUUAAUUAACAAUGAUUUAUAAUUUAAUAGUGAGCACAAAGUAACAUAUAUCAAGCAACAACGAAGUCUAACUCUCUUCCUAUGCAUCGGCAUGUCAUAAAAGAAUAAUUCAUGCACACAAAGUAAAGGCCAAUGCGUAGUAUAAGCAGUUUCUUGCAAUUUCAUAGUAUGGGAAACAUAGAGAGGUGGAAAAAUAGUUCCUCUCUCAUAAUAACUGCAAGUAGGAGCAGCAAGCACAUGCAUAUUAUGUUCAUCAAAAUCAUCAUAUGCAAUGGUAAAAGUCAACCCAUAAUUAUAAUCCUUGCUAAGCGCAAACUUCUCCGAUAUAGUGUAGUUUGGAGAAUUCAAAAAGAUAAUAGGACUAUCAUGCGUGGGUGCAAUAGCAAAAAUUGCAUGUUUAACAUAAGGAACUAUAGCAAGUUCAUCUCCAUAAGCAUAAUUCAUAUUGGCAUCUUGGCCACAAGCAUAGCAAGCAUCAUCAAAAAGGGAUAUUUCAAACAAAUUCAAGGGAUCAUAGCAAUCAUCCUUCGGUAAGCACGAAGGGGAAUUAAAUAAUGUAUGAGUUGGAGGGUUACUCUCAUUAGAAGGUGGGCACGGGUAGCUAAUCCGCUCUUCCUCCUUUUGUUCUUCGCUCUCCUCAUCAUCUUUUUCAUCCAAUGAGCUCACAGUUUCAUCAAUUUCUUCUUCCAUAGCUACCUGCAAAAUAUUAGUCUCUUCUUGGACAGCGGAGAAUUUCUUCAUAAAUGCAUUAAUAUAGUAAUUGUAUUCAUCAUUUUCAUAGCAAUAUCUAAGUAUAGCAAGAUUUUCAGGCCUACAAACUGCAUCAUCAAAAUCAUCAAACGCUUUAAACAUAGAUUCAAUCUCAUAAGCACCCGUAAAAGCAACAAAUUCUUCUAUUUGUUCCACAUCAUAGUAAUCAUAUCUACCAUUAGCAUAAGAAGCCAAGGUUUCAUUAUCAUUGAAUUUGCAUGAAAAGGGAAGGUGUGGAUCCUCCACCCUAGAGCAACAAGUAUAAUCAUGCAUCACACGUAAUUGACGAGCAUACCAACGCAAAAUAAUAAAUUGAUCCCAUAAUAGUUUCCCUUUUUGUGUCGAGCGAUAAUCCCUAAAGUAUUCACGUUGAUCCAACGUGUCUCCCAUUAUAAAGUUGAAUGGGGCUUUCUCAGGAUUAUCAAAGUAGUACAUAAUAUCUUUCGCAUAUUGAGAAUCGAGGGUUUUAGGAGUUACCCCAUCCUCAUGAGUAGCAAGUAUAGCUAAUUUUUUUGGUAUUUUGCGUUCCAUAUCCAUAACUACAGAUAGAGAAUAACUUAGAACAGCAAAUAAAAAUUACUUAGUGAUAAAGCAAACAAGCACACACGAGAAUAUUCACCCCACGCUAUGACUCCCCGGCAACGGCGCCAGAAAAAGGUCUUGAUAACCCGCAAGUAUACGGGACAGUUGUAGCCUCUUUCGAUAAGUAAGAGUCUCGAACCCAACGAGGAGCUAAAGGUAGAACAAAUACUCUCUCAAGUCCUAUCGGCCACUGAUACGACUCUAUGCAUGCUUGACGUUCGCUUUACCUAGAACAAGUAUGAAACUAGAAGUACUUUGUAGGUAUGAUAGGAUAGGUUUGCAAGAUAAUAAAGAACACGUAAAUAAAAAUUAGGGGCUGUUUAGAUAAAGAAGCAAUAAAGUAAAUAUUAGUAGAGAGCUUUUUGUUACGAGAAAGUUAUUUGUCCAAGGCAAUCGAUAACUAGACUGGUAAUCAUUAUUGCAAUUCUAUUUGAGGGAGAAGCAUAAGCUAGCAUAUCAUCCCUUACUUGGAAUUCUAUGCAUUUAUGAUUGGAACUCUAGCAAGCAUCUGCAACUACUAAAGAUUCAUUAAGGUAAAAACCAACCAUAGCAUUAAAGCAUCAAGUCCCCUUUUAUCCCAUACGCAAACAACCUACUUACUCGGCUUUGUGUUUCCGUCACUCACGCAACCCACCAUAAGCAAAUCAUAAACAUAUUCCAAGCCCUACAGCGGGAAUCCCUCACGCUUGCGCGACACGGAGGGCAUAAUAGGACAGCACCAAUAAUAAAACAUGCAACUAAAACCAAUCACGAUCAUCAAUUAACCCAUAGGACAAAACGGAUCUACUCAAACAUCAUAAGAUAGCCAUACAUCAUUGGGGAAUAAUAUAUAGCGUUGAGCACCAUGUUUAAGUAGAGAUUACAGCGGGUAAGAGAGAGGUUACACCGCUGCAUAGAGGGAGGAAGAGUUGGUGGAGAUGUUGGUGAUGAUGGCGACGGUGUUGGUGAAGAUCGCGGUGAUGAUGAUGGCCCCCAGCAGCGCUCCGGCGCCACCGAAAGCAAGGGGAAGAGAGCCCCCCUACUUCUUCUUCUUCCUUGACCUUCUCCCUAGAUGGGAGAAGGGUUUCCCAUCUGGUGCUUGGCUCCCAUGGCUUGGGAGGGGCGAGAGCCCCUCCGAGAUUGGAUCUGUCUAUCUGUUUUUGCGUUCUCUGUUUCUUCACCUUCACCGUUUCCUUUAUAUCUGGAGAUCCGUAACUCCGAUUGGGGUGAAUCUUUCGCCCAGAUCUUUCUCAUAAAAUUAGCUUUCUUGCGACAAAAGAAGAGCGUCAACCGCCUUACAGGUGGCCCACGAGAGCCCAGGGCGCGCCUAGGGAUAGGGGGUGCGCCCCCCUGUCUCGUGGCCACCUCGGACACUGUUUCGCGUUGAUUCUUCCUCCGAAAAAUCCAAAAUAUUCCAAAAUAAUUCUCCGUCCGUUUUUAUCCCGUUUGGAUUCCGUAUGAUAUUGGUUUUCGGCGAAACAUAAAACAUGCAAUAGACAAGAACUGGCACUGGGCACUGGAUCAAUAUGUUAGUCCCAAAAAAUAGUAUAAAAAGUUGCCAAAAGUAUAUAAAAGUUGAAUAAUAUUGGCAUGGAACAAUAAAAAAUUAUAGACACGACGGAGACGUAUCAAGCCCCAAGGUUAAAAAUUUCUGGCAUGCCUAGAUUUGCUAUGUGCUAAUCUUGCCAUUUCUUGCCAUGUGCUAUGUUUGGUAUGUAAGUUGCUAUAAAAGACAUUUUUUUCUAUGUAUAUAUGUUGACAUAUAUUUGAUAUGAUGAAAUUUAACAUUUUCUCUUCAUUACGACAUGUCAAAGAUUCAUCGACCAAAACAUUAACAGUUCCGAGGCACCGCAGUGAACCUAGAUGACAAUGCAUGUGUUUUACAAAUUCGCCAUGUGAAAUGAAUGCAUGUAACCCAAUGAUAUCAAUGUGUACUAUGUAAAUUAACGCGUGUGUUGCAAUUUGUAUAUUUGAAUUCAUAUAAAAUGUGAUACAUAAAAUUAUCUAUUUAAUGCAUACUUUUUAUAUUGAUAUAUGAAUCAUGUGUGCAAAUGCUACCACAACAUCAAAUACACUGCCGUGUCAUCUUUUCCCCCAAAACAAAGUACUAGUGUAGCGAAAAAAUACAAGCACAUCACCAAUUCCCCAAAAUACUAGCAUUGUGCCAUUAGUAUUUUGUAUUACAUGUUGCGUGAAAGUCCCAGACAAGACACUUGUAUGUACAUUACUAUUGUCGUGCAUGCAUGUUGGAGAUAUGCCCUAGAGGCAAUCAUGUAUGAUGAUAUUUCCUAUGUGUUUAUGAAUAAAGAUAGUCCUUAGACAUUAUCAAUGAUAGUACUUGGUGGUUGGCACGCCAUACUAGAAGCCGCUACCAGCCGAGCAUGUCGGAGGUGAUCUGACCUGUGACCAAGCUGACUUGAACCUAAGGGAUCGCGCGCUUAAGAGAAGGAACCUGUGAGGCUCGGUCCGACUCCACGAGUCAGGUGUGAUCCUACUUGGACUCGGAUCCAUGCCGAACAGACUUUGGGCUUUAGGAUCCGUGUGAGGCCCAAGCGUUGAGCCCAUGACGGAUAUGCCUAUAUAAAGUGGGGGUGCAGCACACUCAUGCGAUUGAUUGCUUCGGUAUUGUUACUAGGGUUUGCAUGUGUUGCGAAUAGCCACCUCCACUCGCUGCCGACUGUGUGAUCGGACCUAGCAGUCCACCGCACGGUGUUCCUCCAGCACGCGUGGAUACCGUUAGACACGGUGCACCUGCGCCGCUCUGGUGAACUUGUACGUGGGAUCGAACGACCGGCUAUUUGAGGGAUAUCGGACGAGGAGGAGACGAUCCAUGUUGACGUGCUGCCCCAACUCUACUUCCGCUGCAUGGCACUGCAUGUCUAGUGGUAAUGAUCUGUGAUCCAUCUCCCGUAGCAUGGUCUUGGUUGUUCUGCGAGUAGCAAAAUUUUAAUUUGCAGUUGAGGCACCCUACCGUAGAACCCAACAAGGCAGACACGCCACUAGUAAGUUACUCGCUCGUCAUUAAUAACCACUUACAAGUGGCAUCAUACUAGUGGUGUGCCGACCGAACACCGCUAGUAGGCACAUGCGCAAGCUGCUAAUAAGGGGGUCUUGUACAUUGGUGGUGGGAGUCACGAUGCUCGUGGGCGAAGCUCUCAGCUAUGGUGCGGGAUGGUGGCCAUGGACGUGCAGGGGGUGGGGUGAUUGUGGUACGGCGUUCAGUGGCGGUGAUGUGGGAGGUGUCUUCAUGACUAGUUGUAGUAUGUUGCAUAGGCUGCUGCCCUCUUCCUCAAGGUGCCACCCUCGAGUACAUGGUUGAGGGCUCUCAUGACUUCGAGAAAUGUGCUCUCUGUGCUACCAGCCAUUUUCUUGGAGUUUUUUUAUCUUUUUUCAAAAAGGAGAAUAACCUUGGCCUCUGCAUCAAACAAUGCACUCAUCCAUCUUUAUUAAAUUAUUCAAUAGAGACCGGCACAAUAAAUACAAGGAUCAAUCCAAAGCCACCUUUCCUACGAACUAUGUCGCUACACCUAUAAGCUUGAUGAUGAACCCCGACCGCACCAAUGCACACCAUCUAAUCUGGUGGCCAACCGAUGCACACCAUCCAAAGCCACCUUUCCUGCGAGCCGAUAUCACCAACCGUCCUAGCAAACCCAACGCGCACACCGCAUGCGCGUGCUUCAGGAUCCUGCGCUACCAUCUACCGCCGUUCCAUCUUCAAGAGUGAUCCUUGGACUGACCUUGCUAGGCCCAACUGUCGUCGAUGUUGUCAUGAUGUUAGACAAUGCCACUAGCCUCCGUGCGUCCAUCAACCCACCUCCAACACCGAUACUCCACCGCACCAUGCCGCCGAGACCCACCGUUCUCGAUGCGGUAGAUUUUUUUUAGAAAAGGAGGAUGACCCCCGGCCUCUGCAUCUGGGCGAUGCAUGGCCACUUUAUUAAUUAUUCUCACAAGACCUUAUAAAGUCAUACAGCAGUAAGACUGAAGCCACCUUCUAAGCAACAACUGUGGCUACACCUACCAGUUGAUGAAGGGGCGCUGAUAGUCUGGGCCUAAUACCAAACAGACAUCCCAGCCAAACCUAAACAUCUAAGACCUGAGGUCCCAACCAGGACGCCUGCCUGGUAUGGGGCACCUACUAGUCCGGCGCACUCCUCAGCCAGGACGCCUGUCGGGUAUGGGGCCGCCGCAGCCACCUGCCACGAGUCUAUCUUCAGAGUUGUACUGUUGCAUCUACCGUGCCAGGUCUCUCAGCCAUCGACGCCACCACGACGCCAAACAACGUCGUCCUCCUACGUGAGUCCAUCCUCCCACAUCGAACUCCAAAUCUGCACUGUGCCAUGCCGUCCAGAUCCGUCGCCAUCAAUGUAUGGAUGAAGCACCGCUCCACCAAAGAAGCCGUCCGCUGGUCCCGCGAAGCCGAGUGCACCUCCAAGAAUGCUGCCCCCAAGGGGGUUACGACACAUGAUUGCCGCCAACAUCCAAUCAGUUGAUCUAGGGUUUCCCCCGGAGGUAUUGAGUGGAGUUGGGAGCUUCACCUCGAUGAUGCCUUCAUGAAGGAAACGAUGAUAAGGGCAUCGUCAUCACCAUCUCAGGCCAUCGACCGAAGAUCAGGUUUUCACCCGGAUCUGUCCCAAGAAAUCCACCAACAACCUGUGCACCGUCUCGACCUCCUUCAAAGCCCCAGAUCCAGCCGCCUAGAUCCGGCGACCAACCGCAGCAACAGUGCCACCGUGGGACUCCUGGCGCACCGGCCACUGCUUGAGUGUGCCACCACUGGAUCCUAGGAGGAGGGCUCCCAUCCCGCCUCGCCAAGCCGCGAGACACACCAAGAAGGAUCCCGCGCGCUCGUCGCCGUCUCUGAUCCGAACCAAUCCAUAGCAGAUCGCUGUCACAGAUCCGCCUUGGACAGGGACUGCACCACGCCAUGCCUCCGCGGGAAGCCCGAGCUUCACCGGCCUCCACCCUCCAUGGCCGCUGCCCCUGGAUCCAGACAGAACUUUGCCGCUGCCACCGGCCAACUUCCGCCGCCGCCGACCGGCCAAGCUGCCAGUCACUGCAUGACCACGUGAGCACAGGCAGCCGGCCGACCAACUCUGACGAAGAAGAAGGCCACCACCACCAAGCCUAGGGCCGGCGCCCUGGACAUCCUCGUGUUGCAGAUCAAGUCUAGGAGCAGUGCCCCACCGACGGUGAUUGAGACCGAUAGCACAAUGAAUUAGCCCGACAUGAGUCAAGGCCAGAUCCAUCAUUGCUGGUGCCGUCCUCCCCCGCCACCGCCGCACCACUUCCUUGUCGCCGCUGAUCUACACCACCGCCGUCGAUCUGGCUGGAGAGGAGCGCCGCCUCCCAACCAAAUCGAGAUCCAAGGAGAAACCGCCGCCGCCGCCACGCCACAAGGGCUUUGCCCUGUGACGCCCUGGGCGACAGCGGCGGAGGGGAGCGGAGGAGGCACGAGGUUGUAGGAGGAGGGAGGGGGCUCCCCGGUGCGGGGCGGCGCCGCCGCACGGGGGAGGGACAGGAGGGACGGGGCUGUUACGUCUCUUGAUGCGGUAGAUGCGACACCACUCCACCUCUUGGCCCCUUCAUUCUCGGUACCUACUCCAAAUAGUGCCCCCAGGAGAGAGAAUGACACAAGUCCAUGUCAUCAUCCGAUUUGGGAGACCCAGAUCUGGGGUUUCUCCCAGAGCAGAUGCCUCUUAGAGGAAGAAGGGCACGCCAUCUGCAGUUGCCAACGAACCAAACGGUGCCCAGCAUCACAACGAGCCAUUUUCCUGGAGUUGUCUUGUUGUUCUUCAGCAUCUUUGUACAAUGCCUUAUGUGCAUGUGUUGUGGUGUCAUGUCGUGUUGUGUUGUAUGUUCUGAAUUGCAUGAUUUGUAUAUAAAGUGGAGCGGAAGUCUUUUUGAUAAACAAUAAGAUCAAUUACUUCAGUUGAAACUUGAAAGUGCAUUUUUUGGCUUUGACAACGGAAGUCAGGGCCAAGGCCGACCUCAUGCGCAGGAAAAGGGACAAGCACACGUACAUCCCAUAUGUACCCAAGCUCUUUUGUUGUUUUGGUUGCUUGUUGUUUGCUUCCGCUUAAUCAUACAAGAUUAUAGUUGGUUAAUAUAUUUCCUUGAAUAAUGCAUUAUCAUCUGAUUUCUUGAUUAGAUCGAUGUGCUCUCUAGUUUCAAACAGUUCUGGACAGGGCCUAUUUUGUUCAAUUGGAUAAUUUCAGUGCACAAAUUUAUCGAAUCGAAAUAAAUCAAUUUAUUUCCUCUGGUUUCCCUUUUUCUAGGAACCUAUUUGUUGGCAUUCCAUAGGACAUAUUUUUUGAGAAACCUAACCAAAUUAAUAUACAAAAAACUCACCUUUACUUAAUUGUGUCCCAGCCAUAUAUGCCUUCCCACUGGUUUNNNNNNNNNNNNNNNNNNNNNNNNNNNNNNNNNNNNNNNNNNNNNNNNNNNNNNNNNNNNNNNNNNNNNNNNNNNNNNNNNNNNNNNNNNNNNNNNNNNNNNNNNNNNNNNNNNNNNNNNNNNNNNNNNNNNNNNNNNNNNNNNNNNNNNNNNNNNNNNNNNNNNNNNNNNNNNNNNNNNNNNNNNNNNNNNNNNNNNNNNNNNNNNNNNNNNNNNNNNNNNNNNNNNNNNNNNNNNNNNNNNNNNNNNNGUAGCAUAACCUGAGUCGCCGUAAUUGGUCUGGGUCAACAUAUCAGCCAUUGUAUUGAUCCCCAAACUCGCGCACAACAUGCCACAUGAUUGGUUCACCGCGGCUGACCUCCUUGCCAUUGGAGAUCGUUGCAUGCGGCGCACCUUUCUUUGGACUGUCCGACAUCUUCACAUGGCCAAGAGCACGUGGAUACGAUACUGAAUGUUUGUCAGUGACCCAAGAUUACUCAUGCAAUUAGCUGGACACAUCUGAGGUUUUACACACUAGCAAACAUAGAGCACACAUGGAAUUUGAUGCCAUGAAAACUUGCUACAGCUUCUUUAUUUGGAAUACAGAGAGAAAUAAGGGUCGUUGCGUGACCGACCUAAACACACACCACGUUCCUAAUGACUCGUGCCACCCCACGAAUCAGAUCGUGCGUGCAUGAUCUACAGCUCCACUAUUAUCGCGUGUGAUCCGAUGUGCCAUGCCAUCCCAUGACUCGGUUCACGACACGGUAGAAACUGGAGCGACCCCAACCUGAUGCAUGGACUCGACGCAAACAUGCUUGCCGUCAAGACCGACUCUCAGCGCAUACCGCGUGCUCGCAGGCAGUUCUGUGGCGCGUUAUUUGGAACAAACAAAUUGAAAGGAUUUUUUUUAAGGCAUGCACUAAGUUUACUUCAAUGGAUCAGCCCUCGAUCCAAAAAACCCACAUCGCGAAGUGGUCUUAGUGGAUCUCGUCACUCUCCGAGU
This 89310-nucleotide long non-coding RNA is filed under the name Triticum aestivum (bread wheat). RNAcentral's name for it is "long non-coding RNA (TAES_LNC011328)". Lineage: Eukaryota; Viridiplantae; Streptophyta; Magnoliopsida; Poales; Poaceae. The record is from RNAcentral.